This 46962-nucleotide long non-coding RNA is filed under the name Ananas comosus (pineapple). RNAcentral's name for it is "long non-coding RNA (ACOM_LNC015830)". Lineage: Eukaryota; Viridiplantae; Streptophyta; Magnoliopsida; Poales; Bromeliaceae. The record is from RNAcentral.
AAAUAAAAAUUUCUGAACUCUAUAGCCUAUACCUAUCCUUUAUUUCUUCUAUCUCGCCAUUAAUAUGCAAUAGUCCUUCUAUCUUAUAAUAGAAAUGCAAUCCUAAAACAUCUACGCGUCUUUUUUGGUUCAACACUCAACUUGUGUCUCAUCUAUAUCUUCAUCUAGGCAAAAAAGUUAAUUCUAUGCGUCUUCGUAUCUUUAACUUUUGCAUGCGUGCAUCACGACACAAUCAAUCUUAAAAGAAAUUGUAUUUCUUCCAUAAUCAACCAGUUAAAAUUCCUUACAACCUUUUAGAUGCUCGCCGUCUAUGAUGAAUUUUCCUAUGCAUAGUUAGCACUACCAUCCUGCAAUGUUUCGAAUCGGUAUUGCCGAUCGUCUCAAUUGCUAAACUAUGUUGCCUUUGUCAGAUUAAAAGAUCCUCAUUUCAAGUUCUAAAAAACCUAGGCACCUAUUAGAACUUCGAAUUUAGGGUUUAGUAUUUCAAUUUAAACACAACAUACUAACACUUGAACAAUUCCAUACAAAACUUUGCUCCCUUAUAAAGGUCCUCAAAUUUGUGAAGCACUGUUUUCAUUUCUCUUCUAUAUAGAAUGAAAUUAUUGGACUAAAUUAUCCACUAAUCCAACAAAAAAGAAAAAAAAAAAAGAAGCUAAAAUAACAAACUAAAACCCUAAUAGUAAUAGAACCCCUAAAAAUUAAAAACAGAGCUCAAUUCAAAACCCCCCCAAAAAAAAGUGAUUAAUGAGAAAGGCAUAGAAUUACUGGAAUCCAGAUUUGGUGAACUGCGUCAACCCAUACAACCCGAAAGCCGCUGUUCUCCAUGCCUGCGAAAAAAAAAAAAAAAAAAGAAAGAAAAUCCAAUUUUUUUUAAAAAAAUUACAACAAAAAAAUCAGAAUAUAUACAAAAAAAUCACCUCAAAUUCCAGAAAAAAAAGGGGGAACGUUGGGUGUUACCUUCUGAAGGAACAUUUUUAAAUUCAAAUAUAUGCAAUAUUUUAACUCAUUAAAAUGUGUAUUUGUAUCACUUUGGAUUUUGGACUUUUAUAGUUCUGGGAAGUGAGGUGGUUCGAAGCCCACGACAAGGGGAGAAGAAUAUGAGAACGCACGUGAGGGAGAGUGCGUGGAUAAACUAUAAAGCAAACACUAUUUUAUUAUACAACAUGUAAAUCUUUUGAGGACUGGAAUGCAAAUUUGCAACUGGGCUCGGCCCAUUUAAUUUUAAUUACGGCCCAGCCCAAUUAUGUGGGUCGGGCUAAAGCAUACGAGCCUAUAUAAUAUUUUAGGCCCAUGAGGGAGCAGCGUGGAACCACCAUGGAGAGCCAUGGCGAUUCCUCGGAGGGUCGGCGACCUCGAGCCGUGUUCAUGGCGUUCGGCACCAAAGGCGACGUAUUCCCCGUCGCGGUUAGGGUUUCUUCUCCCUCCUCCUCCUCGUCCUCCUCCUCCUUCUCCGAACCCUAGGAUUGGAUUGUUUAGGAACUCUAUCAACUACUCAUCUGCGUGGUUCUUUAUCUGUAAUCGAAACAAAAUUAGGAAGCUGAAAUAGCGAUUCAUCAAUGUAACGAUCGAAAUCAUCGCUAUCUUUAUACUUUUGUUCGGUAUCUGCUCAAACAUUUGUAGUUUCAUCAGUGAUUUUGGAGUGUGGAGCAAUAUAGAAGUUUUACUGCCCAUUUCUAUAUGAUUUAUUUACAUGAAUGUUUUGCUUCUGCUGUCAUUUUAAAUUCUUAAGAAUCUACUUUGUUUGGUGUCAUAAGGUGAUAAAUUCGCCAUCUUUUCAUUUGUAGGCCAUUGCUGCAGCAUUUGCAUGUGACCAGCAACACUACCAUGUGGUUUUUAUCACUCAUUCAGCUCAUCAGGUUGACAUCUGCUUUCUCUUUUUUCCUUUAUUUUUGAUUUUAAAUUUGUGAUCUCCUUCUGUUGCUUGAAGAACUGGUAAUAUUGCAGAGUUUGAGUGGAAAUUUGUCUGCAAAAAAUAUUACCUACAUGCCACUGUCCGCUCCACCCGUUCUUCCGGCUCACUAUCAUGGCGAUAUCUCAGGUUAGAUCUCCGGAAAGAACCUGAGUUCUUCAUAUUUGUUUACAAUUGAUGUUUCUUUAUUAUUGCAAAUAAAUCUAAUAUGUUUUAACCUUCUUCUUCUUUUUUUUUUUUUUUUUUUUUUUUUUUUUUUUUUGUGAAUCAGAUGUUGACAAAGCGUCUUUUUCCCUGAGGAAAGAGCUCAUUCAGACAGAAAAUAGACAGGAAUGUUUAUCUGCACUAGAAGAAAUUUUUAGAGAUGCUCCAGGCACUGAGGGUGAUUUCAUUGCGAUAAAUUUCUUUGCUUUGGUAGUGAGAAAGGAGAAAAUAUUUCAUAUUUUGCCUUUUUAGUUUAGCAUGAAAUAUGUCUUGAUAUCUUUAAUUGGCAUGCCUCUCUUCUCUAUGUUGUUUGCACUUAUUGGUUGUUUCACAGUUAUCUAUGUUUACUUUAUGAUCCAGGAAGGCUGGCAUCUUGCGGAAUUAUUUCAAGUUCAAUGUGUUGUUACUGCUCCUUAUGUUGUUCCAUAUAGGUAUAACUUCAACCAAAAGUUGCAUGCUAGUAGGUGAUGACCUUCUAGAUUUUCUUUCCUAGUCGUUUCCAUUUAAGUCUACCUUAGCAACUGAUUCUAGUUCUACAAAUCAUAGAUUUUUUAGUUUUUCUGUUUGUUUUAGCAAUUUAUAAUUUUGUUGGACAUGGUUAAGCUUGGAUAACUAUUAUAAUUUAUUUUCUCCUUUAACAUUUCUCUAUCUUGCACAGUGCACCUUCAUCAUUUGAACGUCGGUUUAAACAAGAUCUUCCUCUGCUGUACAAAUAUUUCCAAGAUGCUCCUGCAAACAUGGUAUGCAAGAUCAUGUGCUGCAUUUGCUUCUUUCUUUCACGUGUCUUGUUUACUGGUUUUGCCACAAUUUUUUCGACCUGUUUAUGCAUCUCUAAGCUAGUACAUGUAAUAAGCUCCAUAUAUUGUUGCCUAGUGAAUCAUUCUCUAUGUCCAUAUCAAGCUUAUGCAAUCAAGAUUUAAUCCUAGCUACACUUGUAGAAGAAAAAUAUAAGUUAAUUUUUUUGGAAAGUUGCUUUACUUUUUGCACGAUAGUGAUGUCUUAUUCUGUAUAGUUGAUAGGUUUCCUGGAAGGAUGUCAUCCACUGGAUGUGGCCACUCUUCAUGGAAAACUGGGGAUUGUGGAGAAGUAAUACUUUAAAUCUAAGUCCUCUUCCUUUCACGGUGGGUGCGACCAUCUACAAGGAUUGAGCUCUUUUUGAUAGUUUUCAUAUAUUUAUUGCAGUUUUGUAACAUACCCGUUGAACUCUUUGAUUUGUACCCUUUUUUUCGCUUCUUUUUUUAAAAAAACUGUAGGAUCCAGUAACAAAUCUUCCGCUGUGGCACAUGCGAACUCAAUCACCAGUUCUGCUGUAAGACUAAUACACUUAAUCUAAUUACGGAGUAUAUCUAGAAGACUACAUUUUUUAUAACAGAAGCUAUGUUGGAAAAAGUAGCCUUCAUUUGUCACUCUUUAGAUUUCAAUUAACAGAUGGAGACAUAAUUUUAUUCCUGUGCCCCGGAGGUAUAAUCACUUAUUUUUGCUCUAAGCAGGUAUGGAUUCAGCAAGGAAAUUGUCGAGUGCCCAGGUACCAAUUCAAUUUGCUUUAUUCAACACUUUGUUCUUUAUACAUUAGUAGCCUUCUACUAAGUAGCCUCAGGAAUUGAUUUUCAAACUUUAAUUCCAUCCAGUCUUGGUGUUUCUUGUUUGUUAACACCAAACUUUCAAAUGCUCUCUUUAAUGCUCUCUUUAUUCUUUUUCAUUGAACCGUGAUAGCUGAAAAGUCUUAAGAUCUGAAACACUUAUAACCAACACGUGCCAGGGUAUUGGCCACCAAAUGCUCAUAUCUGUGGUUUCUGGUUUCUUCCUAUGGAGUGGCAAUUCUCGUGCAAUAAAUGUGCAGAAAAGUUUUCUCUGCAUUCUUAUGGAUCAUUGACUCCAGUGAAGGAACUAUGUCCAAUUCAUGCUGACCUACAGCACUUCCUCAGAGAAAGGUCUACCCUAUGCUUACCAAUAUUUGUUGGGCUAAGUUCUAUUGGAAGGUAGAUACUGUUGGUCUUCACAGUUUCAUACUUUUUUGAGUUUCCAACAAAAUAUUAUGGUUUUUUUAAUAUUAUUAGGUAUAACUUAGAUAAUUUUUCUCUCCAACAUAUAUCUUUAGCUCAAAUCUCCCUACUUAUCUCUAAAUUUAUUAUUGGCUGGCAUUUAUCCUUUGCAGCAUGGGCUUUCUUAGAAACCCUCGAGCAUUUCUUAUGGUGCUUGGAGCUGUGAUAGAGACCACAAAUUAUAAAAUUAUUUUUUUCUCAUCUGGAUACAAGCCAUUAGAUACUGCUAUCCAAUCUAUUGCUAGUGCAUCAUCAACUGCAUUGAAGCCAUGCACUUCCUGUGGUGAUAGCACUAUCCUCUUCAAUGGCCGGCUCUUUUGCUUUUCUGGGUAAGAAAUUUCCAGAUGGUCGUUAGAGGCUUCCUCUAGGUGUAUCUUCUUACUGAUAUAUGCAUAUGUUGUUUUUUUUGUUGAUUUAUGUACAAUCAGCUCUGUUCCAUAUAGCUGGAUUUUUCCUCAAUGUGCCGUUGCAGUUCAUCAUGCUGGCAGGUCAGUUUGCAAAGAUGUGUAUUUUGAGUAAAAGUACGGAUUUUUCUGGACAAAUCUGGUUAAAUGACUUUUUUCUCUACUUUCUCAACAGUGGCACUACUGCUGCUGCAUUACAUGCAGGAAUCCCUCAGGUUUUAAUCACCACUUACUGAUUAUAUUUUAGUCCUGUGACUCCUGUUUCAUUUUUUCUUCUUAUCUAAACUGCAAACCUUUUAGUCCGGGAGAUGCUGUAACUGCCUUGGCUCUUGUACACUCUUCUUAACUAUCUCCUGCAAUCAUAACAUUUUCUUUUCAAUAGGCUUAUAGCAGUAUAAACAUUUCCUUUGCAUGCAAUCAUGGAAUCUGUAUUCAUUCUUUUCUUUUCUUUUUUUUUUGGGUGCAUAAUCACUUAAUUUUGAUGCACUUAUCUGGUUGUCUAUAGUUAUGUGAAUUGCUCCAGACACUGAUGACCUGUUAUUUCGAAUGCUACAAAGAUUCACCCAUUACAAUGUCCUCUUGUAUAGUCAUGCUCGGGAAAGCAUAUAUGAAUGUUAUCCAGUUUUCAGACAAUUACAUAUAUGCUCGCUAUCCUACUGUGAAAAUAAGCAGGCUAGUUCAAGAUAGCAAUGCUAUGGAUUGGUUGGUUAAUCAUACAAAAUGAGCAUGUAAUGGACUUGAGAAAGAAUAUUUGGGUAUGUGCAGGUAGUGUGUCCCUACCUACUAGAUCAAUUUUACUGGGCUGAGAAGCUGUGCUGGCUUGAAGUUGCUCCAGAGCCAUUACAGAGACAGCAUGUGACUCCGGAUAGUGAUGAUUCAGCAAGCAUUGUUGAAGCUGCUGAGGCCCUCUCAAGGGCCAUUAGAUUGGCACUCACCCCUGAGAUGAAAGAACAAGCGGCGAAGAUAGCCGAGAGAGUAUCAUCUGAGGUACGUAUCCAAUGCAAUCAUCGGAACCCUUCUUCACUUUUCGUUUACAUUUUGAUUCAUUCACUUUUUAUAUUACCACUUGUAGGAUGGUAUUGGAGAAGCUCUUAAAGUUUUAAAGGAAAAGGUGGCCUCUCCAUUCAAAAGGCGAAAGGACUAGAUGCUCAUAAUCAUCCAAGAGACGCUGCACAUGUUAUAUUCUGUGAAAAGUUGAUAGCAAAGAAGUUAAACUGGCUGUGUGACUUGGACUAAUUCAAAAUGUAAUUUAUGGUUCAAUUGGAUAUUCUUUGCUGCCCCACACUCUGAAUUAAUUAUAGCACUGCUUGAGUUUCUGCUAAUACAAAAUACAGCAUUGAGUUAAUAAUAGCUGUUCAUCACCCAAAAUUUUGCAUAGUGUAUGAUUAUGUUAUAUAUAUAUAUAUAUAUAUAUAUAUAUAUAUAUAUAUAUAUAUAUAUAUAUAUGUUUCACUGUUAUUGGAAAGAAGUUUAGGUAGAAAACCUUGACUUGAUGUCUUAGUUGUAUUGUUCUGUUCACUUGUCCAUGGUGGCCGUGGCACUUAAUCUGGAAAGAAGUAACCGCUUUGCUUUUCUAAGUUCUGUGCUUGUAUUAACUGCUAAAAAAUCCUUCGAAUUAAGAACUUCAAGUAGCAUGCUAGUGCAAAAUAUUUGUAAAGCCACUCUGACAAAUUGUUUUUAUGGCAUUGAAAUAUUACAAAAUGUACAAUUAUAGUGCACAGGAGCUGCUCGAUUAUUCCGUGUUAUCUUGUAAUGAUCAAUCAAAUCAAGCAGGUAGAGCAGUACCAGGUUUCUAACGCCCCCAUGCGUUUGUGUCCUGCAUGAAUAGCAGACAACUAAAUUACUUUGCGAGUAGAAUAAGAAUGUCAAUAUAAUUUAGUUUGGCAUGUGAAAAUGACCUUAAAGUAUUGAACUUUACUACCAAGCAGUUAUUAAUUGAAUUUUAAGGCUUUGAAAGAAGGAGAAACUGACCUCUCCUGGCCUGACAUUGCCCAUUCCAACUUCGAAAUCGAAAUCUGACAUUAUUUCUUCGUCUUCUAUCUCUGCGUUUGUUAAUGUGAGAGCCUUCUGAAGCUUCCUAUGGCAGAACACUUCAACCUCCGCCGAGUAAACCGCCGUCACAGGUCGAUGAUCAGACAGCGUCAGCUCAGACCUUCUGUACUUCAGCAGUUUCAUGCCCUUUCCAUAUGAUAGGAUACGGUCACACCUGCAGCAGUCAAAUAAUAUAAUACUAUGUUCAAGAUGUAAGCAGGAAACUGAGGAAAUUUAGAACUUCCAAAAGCAAUUAUGUAAAAUCAAUGUAUGUUGAGAGUCAACAAAUAAGCUCAGAAGCAGAGCAUCUAAUGGACAGCACAAGUUUUGGCCUUUGGAAAGGCACAAUUUUUGCCAGCCUCCUUAAUGUAAAAAGCAAGAAACUAAAUAUAUGUGCUAUGAACAAUGUAAUGUUAAUACCAUGCUGGAGAUCUUCUUCCACCCUUUGGAUCAUCUCCAGUGUAUCUUUCUGAAUUGAACUCAUAUUUAUAGGUAGGAGGGAAGUUUAUAACACCUUCAGACCAUCCAUCGAAAGCCCUUCCCUUUUUCAACUCAUGUUUUAGUUUCAAAAAAUAGUAAAAGAAUCUCAGUAAAACCGUCAGUCAAUGUUCGGCAAUUGAUAAAUUCAAAACUAGUGAUGGACAAGCUCUCUCCAUCUAUAAUUUGGCCUCAAAUUCAAUGCGUAAUUUAAAGAAUCAAGAGCAAUCAUAGUUCUUGUUUUGCAGUUGGAAUUACCACCAGUUGCCACUAGAAUAAAACAACUGUGAUCUCCACGAUAUCUGUUCUUUUCUUCUCUUUUUCUGUAAAGAAGUUAGUUUACCUGAUCGUUCUCAGCGAGCUGAGACCAAUUGCUUUUGGAGAUGAGCUCAUGAGUUUUCUCAUAUGAUAAAUCAAUGCGGUAAUUUAGAUCUCCAAGCCAGAAAAUUCUUCUGCAAAUAAUCAUAAUUAGUAAAUACAUGAAGGAAGCUUGAGAAGCAGCUAAGAGAAUUGAAUUCGAAGGAAAAAUUUACAUAAAAUAAUACUAACAAGAUUCAAGGUAGGUUGAACCGAUAAUAUAAAUGGCUAACACAUUGAAACCGCAGAGAAAAACAAGGGUGAUCUAAUAUAUUUAAUGUCUAAUUCAAGAUUUUGUAGCAGCAGAUGGACGUUACACAUACUCGUGGUUGUGGAUAGUUUUUGGCAAUCCGUCAUUGGCAACCGCACUAAAUUGUGUCCUACGGUGAAUUUCUCGUACAUCUGCGUUUCUUCGAAGCUCGUCUCCAACUUUUUCACCUGACGACAGGUGGCUACAUACAAUGCAAAACAGUGUCUGAUAUAUAGACAUGCUGACUGAUAUUGAACCCUGGAGCACAUUAAGUCUACAUGAGAAUGGUUAUAAUUUUUAACCAGUUUUCUUUAUGCAUAGUGAAAGAACAAUGUCCGCAGAAAGUUAAAUACAAAUAGAAAUAGUGAAUGACAUAACGUAAACGGCGUAAGAAAAUAUAAGAAGAUGGAUAUCAACAAGAAAUUUACAUCUAAAUAGUAAAUUGGUCAUUUUCGAAGAGAAACAUUUGUAAUAGGAUUCAGAAAGUCUUCGUUUUUAGUCGACACCAUGAGAAGAUUCUGGAGUUCAUAAUAGAUUCCAUUGAAUUAUCACCAUACAAGGAUAUACAGGGGAACAACAGCCAACAUUAGUAUUUAUAAAGCACUGAUUCAGUUUAUCGGUGAAUGAUAAAUGUUGUAGAAUGCCCAAAUACAUUGAAAGAUGGAUAAAAGCUAAUAAAUGGAGGGAAAAACUUGCCUUGUUUCCGAUAUAACCCAUUACGCCGACUCCAACUGUAGACACUUUCAAGUUCUGAAUAUGCCUCCUGAGGCUUCGUCGAACCCAUAUUGAAAGGAAAAUCCCAACCAUUUGCUUGCUAAUUAUCCUCACAAAAGGCGACCUCUUCUUUUUCUGUUUAAACAAGUCUAGAUCAAGAUCAGGAACCAAUUCACUAUUUGCCGAUUCCUUGUAUUCAUCUCGCCGUAGCUUGAAUGAGCUAUAAUUUCUGAAGGACUUCACCGAUUUGAAGGAAUUUGAAUUGCUCAGAGCACAUUUAGCUAAGACAUCUAAUGAUUGUUCUGGCCAAACCAAACCAACUCUCUCCGAGCUGCUUAAUGUUUUGAUCAUCAGCUUCUUUUGUGGGGCAGUUGCUUUUUCUAAGAUACCACUUUUGUUGCUCAAUAGAAAAUGGUCCAACCUAUUUAAUCUCUUCACAGAAAAGUGCUUUUGAUGGUCAAGCUCCUCCUGUGAGCUAACAUCAGUACUAGAACUGCAGCUAGAAGUUACAUCGCAGUUCGAACUGUCUGUUGAAGCCGUGUAUUCUUCGCUGUCGGGAAAACUGAGGGCCUUCUCAUCAAUCUCGGCAUCACUAUCGGUUUCGGGAAGUAAUUCUUCGACAGUAAAAGCCGCUUCUGAUGAUGGAUUGAACCUCGACGGUGAAGGAGGAUCACUAUAGCAUUUGUACUUUGGUUUUGAUGGCUGAACUCUAUUCAGAGUCUCGCGGAUAAGACAUUCCCAUUUUGGGACUGGGCGGCCGUCCUCGGCGCCAAAGAUGUUUCCGGCAUUUAAGGGAACAAUCUCCUGAAGCCUGCAAGGUAAAGAACACAGCAGAAAAUACACCAUUCUGUAUGAAGUACACCAUUUUUGUCUAAUUCAAGGUUAAGAAACUGUGUUAUCAUCAUUACAGUUUUCUGCAUUACUUCAUAGGAAAACAACAUUACAGUCUUUAAAGAAGAACAUGAUAAAGUAUUCAAAUUUCAGGAAAUUCAUGAACUUCUUUGAAGAAAAUGCAACGCCAAGUUUCAAAAUAUAUAUACAUAAUGCUUGUGUUUAAACCAGAAUUUUAAAAAUACACAUACAUAACUUCUACAGGAAAAAUGCUAUUACAAAAAAUAGUUACCCGAGCACGUAAAUAUCGGCAGGAUCCUCCAUCUCUAGCCACUCAGUGAUGUCCAGGUUAUCUGGUGGAAGUCUCCCUCCAGCAUUCCAGGUACCUACGCAGAUCCUGUCAAAGAGCAUAGCUUUAGAUCACAGUCGCAAGUAAGAUGCUUCUUGAGUUAUAACAGCCGACUUUGUACGAAAUAGCAGAGCAUCAGAAAAAGAGAAGAAGACAUAAAGGUUAUUUAAAGAACAAGAUCAUAGUUAUAAAGAAGAUCAUAGUUAUAAAGAAGGAUGGUUAAGUGAAAGCAUACAUACUUGAGUUCUUUUGUGUUGAUGUAUUGUGCACGAAGCGUCUCAGAGUUCCUUCUUCGCAACUUGUAAGAAUUAGUGCUCUCCAAAGGUUCACCUGUUACAUAAAAAGCCAUUAGAUCAUUGCAGAGGCAAUAGUACUUGAGCAAGCACAUUGGUAAUACGCCGUCGAUUGUUGCAUAUAAAAGAACAAUUUUUGUAAAAUUAAGACCAUCCUACUUUAAUUAAUACCAUGUAAAAUGACGGUUCGUCUCUAAAAGCAUAAACUUGUUUAUGUCCCAUGUUUACUUAUAACAUCUUUUCAAUCAAUUUGAAAAAGUUUCCUACUCAAAACAUUGAUUUUUGUAGAUUAGAAGAACUUGCCUGCGGUCUCGGCUUGAAGCCCCCCAACCCUUCUCUCCUUAUCAGGCGCGCAAUUACAGUUCUCUACAAACAAAAGCCACAGACCAUUUCCAAUCAUCAAAAACCCAAAAUUCUUUCUUCGAAAACAAAUUUUUUUGAGAGAAAGGUAGCAUGCUAUCGCUUCAUUCAGUAAGAAAAUGAAUUUAGCAGCAAAGUGAAGCAUCGUGGCUUCGCAAGCGAGAAAAAUAAUAAUAAUAAUAAAAAAACCACUAAACACAAUAAUGAUUCCACAUAUUCUUCACGUCCACCAACAGCUGUCUCAACGAAAGUUUUUUAUGGUCGAAAAUUCUUCUAUUUCGCUCUAACCAUAAAGCCCACCAGGAAGAGGAGAUGAUAGUUAGCUCCUUCUUUCCUAUUAUGCCCCACUUAUCGCUACUAUCCAUCCAAAGCUCUCUGGCUGAGCUAAAGACGCUUAAGGCCUUUUUAUUCGAAAACAAAUUAAAGAGAGAAAAGAACCAAAUCAACUAGAACACGUUAAACUUGAAGAGACCUUCUUCGCCGAAUUCGCUCUCGUUGUCUCCAUCAUCGGUGCUGAAAUCAGAAUCCCUGGUGCUGAUGUUGAGCCAUUUCUUGAGAACAAUCUUCGGCCAGAAGACCUUCGACUGAUUCGAAAACCGGUCAUUAAUUUAGGCGAAGAACAAACAACCAAAACAAGAUAACAUAGAGCCAUUAGAAAGCUUAAGCUGAUAAAUAAAAAGAAAAAAAGAAGAAAACUCUUAAUACUAUAAACAAGCUUAUUUUUUUCGGUUAUAACCUGCAUGAAGUAGUUGAUUCUGCUACUAUACGUGGCACGAAUUGAACACGUCUCUAUAUAAACAGAAACUCUUGCACAUAUGUAAAACACUAGAAUUCCUAUUUAUAACUAGAGAGUAAAUGAUGUUCUUAUAAUUCUAAAGAGAUUAGUAAGUUAAGUUUGUGGAUGCGAUGAAACAAAGAUAAGAGUUAUGCAUGCAUACCUCUCCUUGCUUUCUUGGUCUAUGCCUCAUUUUAGUGUUGAAGAGGAAAAGAGAUCGAGAGAGGAAGAGCUCGAGAGAGAGAAAAAGAGGUUCUAAAUUAAUUUGUUGUCACCUCUGCUUAUGCUUCUUCUCAGUGAGCUGCAGUUGAAUAAUAGCACCAAAGAACACUAAUGAGGAUGAUGAGGAGAAAUUAAAAAUGGUGGUUUAACAUAUACAUAUAUAGAACGAAACAGUCACGGGAUUUGGAACGUAGUAGGGGUUUGGACAACAAAUGGGAUCUUGACACGUGUCAUUAAUUUGCUUUUGUGCUCAAAGGUUUAGCCAAACUUUGACUAUGUAUUACUGUAAAAUUUACCGCCGUUUCCAACACAAGUUAUAAAAAAUUUGAUGAUUAGUAUCUAUAAUAAUAAUAAUUUUGAGUUCAUAUUUUAAAUAAAAGUUUAUUUUUUAAAAUAAAAUUGAAGCAAAUAACAUGCUAUUUUCUCUCUCUCUCUCUCUCUCAAAAAAGAAAAUUCAACUCAAUCACCCUACUUAGAGUAAAUUAGAUUUAAGUCACAAAAUUUCAUGUCUUAGUCCCACCAGUAUGUCAAACUUCAUUUAAUUUUUUUUUUUUUUUUUUUCUAAUAUAGAGGUGAGGUGAUCGACAAUUAAAUACGACACCACGCGCACCAUUUAAAAUUAAUUAUAACUUAAUAGUCACGUCAUCUUUGAAACAUCAAGCGUGCUUAAACAAUGAUGUAAUAAUUUCUACCAUAUCAAUAAUCAAAGUAAAAUAAAAAGUGAAGCAUCCCAUUAAUUUAGUAGUUGUAUAAAUUAUCUAAAACAGAACAAUUGUUUGGAUUAGAAUGAUGGAAUUUCAACCAUUUUACAAAAAGCAUCACAGUAUUUUUUUUUUAAAUUUUAUAUUCCUACUUUGCCUAUAUAUUAUAGUUCAAAAGACUAAAUAAUUAAUACUUAAUAAUCCAUAUAUAAUUAUUCCCAAUUAGCCAAAGUGGCCCAUUUUACCUAUCAAUAAAGCAAAGUGUGAAGCAUUACUCUUUGUCAAGUUGGAAUUGGAUUACCCAUUUAGACAUGUGCCUUCCACCUGCUGUUUAUUUGCGGCCACAUGAUUUUGUUGUUUUUAAUAGGUCAUUAAUUAGUUACUCCAUUCCUAUCCAUCACGAUAAAUUGUCAUUUUCAAUGUGCAAAACGUUUCUUUAUAUAUUUUUUGGUUAAUGUAUAGGCCAUUUUGAAAUAGACCUCAAAUGUUCUUUUUCGUAUUUGUUUUGAUUAGCUUAAUAUGUUAAAAGAGAUAAAAAUUAGUGAUGAAUUAGUUAAAAUUUGUAACUUGAUUGGCCAUAAUUACUCAAAAUACUAGAGAUCUAACAAUAGUAGUGUCCACAAACAAAAAAUGAACGAAGAAUUCAAAAAAUUCUGUGUUAGUGCAUGUAAAUCGUGAGAGAAUAAAAUUGAUGACUAAAAAUAGUGAAGAUGCAAAGUGACAAUUUCCCUUUUCACACUCUGGUACUACUUAGAGCAAGAGAUACAAAAAUAAAAUUGUUAUCAAGUGUUUCAUUUAGGGCAUGUUUGUUUCAACGUAAGUAGACUUGGGUGGAAGUGGACUUUGGGUUAAAGUAGAGUUUAGGUGAAAAUCAAUUCAUUUCCGCUGUUUGUUUCUAACUAUGAAAAUGCAGUUCUGUGAGUUCUGUUGUUUGUUUGGUAGGAAAUAGAUGACGUGAAAAAGUGUAGUUCUCCACCCCCGGUACACUUACCUCCGAAUUAAUAUUAUUGUCUAUUUUGUAACUUAGUGAAUAAUAAAUUAUAAUAAAUAAAAAUUAAUAUAAUUUUAUAUGUAUAUAAUUAUAUAUAUGUAUAUUUAUAUAAUAAAAUUUUAAAAAAUUAUAUUAUUUGUUUGCAUAUAAAUUAUAAUAAUGCAACAAAUAAAAUUCUAAAGUUAAAAAAUUAUUAACAUUUAACAAAUUUAUUUUUCAUCAUUUUCUAAAUAUACAAAUUAGACAAAAUAUAUAUUAAAACUUACAUAAACAAAUUUAAUCACAUUACCUGACCAAAUUUAACAAGUUCCUUUGCCUCUUUGCAUUUCACCGGAAUUGACUUCGUCCUGUGGGAGUGCGAAGUCAAUUACCCUAUUUUGGGUGAACUCGACUUUCGACCGUAAUAAAAUUACGGCAAAACAAACAACGGAAGUGAUAGUUUACGGCGUAAACAACUUUCCUCCUCUCCACUUCCCCCUCACUUUCACCCAAACAAACACACCCUGACAUGCCAAAUUGAAACAUGGAUUCCUUAAAACAUGCUACAUAAUAAGAAAUAUAAAUUUAACCCACCGUCUCAAAACCGACCAUCCCUAGAGCAAGUGGUAAAGGGCUUGAUGGUUGGUACCCGAGACCCAAGUUCGAAUCCUAGUUGAUUCACAUUUCUAGCUAAGUUUAUUUUUAAAUGAAAUAAACGAAGCGGGUAGCAUGCUACCUAUCUCUCUCUCUCUCAAAAAAAAAAAUUUAGGAGAUUACACAAAACAUUACAAGUUUGAAACUAUAUAUAUGUUAACCUUUCCUAUGAUACUAUAUAUAUAAUAUUACACAAGAUAUCAAUUUAAUGAAAAAAUGUUCCAAGAAAUGUAUUAAUAAAAUUUAGAAUGCGAAAAUCUAAAUACGAAAAUUUUACAUGAGAAUUUAACUCGUUAAUUAAUUAUUUAUGAUGAAGUGUUGACCCACAAUCUUGUUAGAUUAGCAUCGAUGCUAGUUUUAUAGUACCAAAAUAUAGAUCCUUGAGAAGACAACUUAGAAACAUAUAUAUUAAUUAAUAGAUUUUAAAAUUGAAGUUAAUUUGAUAUUGAUGGAUAUGAACCUUUAGGAAGCGGCCAAGUGUUAGUGAGUCACAUGUCUCACAAUUCAAUUUGGUGACUUGUUCUUAUAUAUGUGUAGUAAUUUUGAUUAAUUGUUGUUUCCACAUUAACUAUAUUUGUCCCUAUCUGAAAUACAUUUUAAUAAGUGUACAUUUGACAAAAGAUUUGCAAACCUCAAGAAAGGGACAAUUUGUCCCUUGCAAAUCUUUACCUGGCUCGCACGUCAUUAAGAAGAGACAUCUUACAGUGGACAACUUAUUUAAACGAGGAUGGAAAGGGACUAUAGCCUAGUGUACUUUACGGGUUGAAAGAGAAAAUUGUGAAUCAUCUAUUCACGCAAUGUGUAUUUAAUAAAUUUCUAAUAGUAACAGCCUUGGAGGGGAUUUAAUUGAUAGAGCUGGGCGACGAAAUGUCCCACGUCUUGGAUAAGUCGAUUUCAAGAUUUAGAAAUCAGUCUGCUCGUUCUAAGUUGAUCGGACUAAUAGCCUACUGAUGGAUUAUUUGGAAGGUUAGAAACGAUACAAUUUUUAGAAAAAUAAACGUGGAUUCUUUUCUAGCAGUUAAUAAGAUCAAAUACUUGAACAACUAGUGGGAGGAAUUCACCGUUGGCAAAGUAGCUACUUUGUAUUUUGUUAAACUUUUUUUNUUAAUUUAUAUUUUUAAUAAAUAAAGCGGAUAGCAAACUAUCUUUUUCUCAAAAAAGAAGAAGAAGAAGUCCCUUGCACCAUAGUCUUUCUUAAUGCACUAUUCUAGCUUGAAGAUACAUAUUGAAAAUUAUUUUUACUUCUUAUAAAUUAUAAUGAAAAAACUAGUCUAUAGCUAACUUGUGAGUUUUAAAUGACUUACUCCAAAGAAGCAGUAAAAAUAUUUCCAUAAAAUUUCUUCCUAUAAAUUUGAACUCUCUAUAUUUAGAACAUAAAAGCUCGAUUUGGUUUCUAUGCAGCGAAAAUUAGUUAGCACUGUUUGGUUGCCAAGCAUAAAGUUUCUAAUAACUUUUUCCUUUCUAACUGACUGUCUAUAGAGCAAGUGGUAAAGGACUUGGUGAUUGGUAUUUAAGGUCCCAAGUUCAAAUCCUUAUUGAAUCAUAUUUUCAGCUAAUCUUAUUUCUAAAUAAAAUAAACGAAGUGGAUAGCGUGCUAUCUAUCUGUCAAAAAAAAAAAAAAAAAACUUUUUCCUUUCUAAAGUGGUAAAACCAUACAAAUUAAAGUAAUCAAACUAAAUAGGUACUAAUUAGUUAAGUAUUUGAUAAAUAAAAAAUAUGUUAUGUUUUCAAAUCUACAAAAGACUUUUUGGUAAAAACAGGGAGCUUUAUUUUGAACAUUUGCCGACAGGGAAAAGCUAGCUCUACGCUGGUCUUACUUUAAAAAAAAAAAAAACAUUACUCAUUUACUUGGGUAAAAAAAAACUUUUUCCAACCAAAAUAUUAUUAGCGAUGUGACUUGUGAGACAGUUAAUUAUGCCUUUUCCAUAGAAAAAGUCGAUGCUCCGUAGCACCUUAUUAAAACCACACCUCAUUUUCGUAUUCUUAUUACAGUAAAACUCUAUAUUGGAUUUGUCUUAUUAUUGUUGGACAACUUCUAGAAACUAGUUUGGUGGACAAACUAAGAAAAAGAAACUAAUUAAUACAGUAAAAAGAUGCCAUUUUUUUUUUCAUUUUCAAAAUGCAUCGUAAAUUAACCAACAACAAUCCAAGUAAUAACAUUCAUUCACAAGUAUUAGAUUUGAACUUACAAAAGUAGAAAUUAAAGAAGCUAUAACUUCGUCGUCUUCUCUCUCGCUCGAUCUCCUCCUCUCGAUCGAGCUCCUAAGUUUCAGCUUCACUGUGUACCUCAUUUUUAUAGCAACUAAUUACAUGUACUAUUUUGACACGUGUCCUUGAUGACAUAUACUUUCUAAAAUGUUAAGUUUAUUCCUAAUGACCAUCAGGAUUAAUUUAAUUAUGUACCACCCACGAAAUCCGGACCGCCAAUUAAGCGAAUUUAAUAGUAAUUAUUAAGGUUUAGAAAAUGAAAUCCUCGUCGGUGCCUGUAACCACCACAAAACAGGGAGCUCCCUUGUACGUCCAAUCACAAGCUGACACAUGCGCGUCGCUCGUGCGGGUCCCACCACAGCGAUCCACGUGGCAACGGGUCGGAGCUUUAAGGAACGUGUUGUGUGUUAGACGUCGUAAGUGUUUCAUAUAUUACCAUGGGGCGUUGACUUGGUGUGUGAGGUGGCACAUUGUGGUGGUGUGUUGGUACUUAGUCUCUGUGGUGGUUGUACAAGAACUCAUCAGUUAGUGUCGCAAUCCAUGGCGAACGAACGUGCUGAUUCAUCAUCACCUCCUACAUUUGCUUUGAGAGCAAUUUUUUUUUUUUUUUUUUUGGAUUUUUGAUGAUGCCCACAGUACGGAUAAAAGCUUUUUUUUUUUAAACCUUAGCUUUUUCACUGAAAUUUUCGUAGAAUUAUAAUGAUUGCAUCAAUUUAGAUUCCAAUAUAUAUAUGGAUGACCCUAAAUAAGCUGUUUAUUUAUUGUAUAAUGAACCUAUGUAUAUAUAUUUGUGGUUGUGACUUGUGAGACUUAGAUUAACGAUAAGAUCAUGCAUCUCUGGAAAUUAUUCGAUGUACCCUAUACAAAUUUUAUUAGGUUCCCUAGAAACUUAACCAGCGCUAUACAUAUUUGCACAUGGAUUCGUAGAUAUUGGGGGGAAAAAAAAAAGAAGAGAACAACUAAUUUCUCCAUGAUGUUGUUCGCAAACCUUUUUUUUUUUUUUUUUUUUCUGAGAGAUAAAUAGCACAUUAUCCGCAUCGUUUAUUUCAUUUAAAAAUAAACUUAGCUGGAAACAUGUAACUAGAAUUCGAACUUGGGAUCUCGGAUACCAACCACCAAGUCCUUCGCCAUUUGUUUUAGGGACAGUCCGUGUUGUUCGCAAACAUUUGUGAUCAUUUUUUGUAUUUUGGUCUCCGGUAUCUGGAGUUCACACUCUUUCGGUGGAAGAUACAAUUAUUAAUUCAUUCGAUCCGAGCUCAUUAUUACUGGGUACGAAGAGAGAUGGAAUUAUCUGCAUUUAAUUUCCUACAGAGUCAUAAAAAGAAAAGUAAUGUUUAUAUACGUAGACAUUGCAUGCUAAAUUUUGGUUUCAUGUGGUUUGUGGCUUGGCGCCAUUGCUCGCAGUAGGUGCAUCUACAGCGUGUAAACUAAACAAUUAAUUAUUAGUCCUUAAUUAUUUGCUAAAAUAUUGUGUAAAAAUAAUCGAUUAUUUGAACAAACCGAAUUUUAUAUAUUGAAAUAAAUUUUAUACUGAACACUGAAAAAGACUCAAAAUUAGCAUUUAUGGAUACACAUAUUAANUAAAUGUGAUAUUUCAAAUUUCAAAUUUUAAAUUUUAAAUUUUAAAUCUAUGUUGAAAUUUAAAAUCUAUGUUGAAAUUUAAAAUUUUAUGUUGAAAUUUAAAAGUUAGAACUUGAAAUUUAAAAGAGAGCUCAAGAAUGGUGAAAUUUUUUUUCUUUGGUUAGAGUGGAUUAUACUUUUACUCCAUUUUUUGGAGUAUAGUUUAACUAUACUCUAAAAAUUAUGUUACUUUUUUUCCUCCCAAACGCUUCAUAGGAUAUUUUUCCUACCGCCGUAGCAUAGUUUAACUAUGCAUAGUUUUUAGAGGUAUCCAAACGGGGCCUUAGUGUCGCAAUCCAUGGCGAACGAACGUGCUUCCAUCAUUACCUCCUACAUUUGCUUUGAGAGCAUUUUUUUUUUUUUUGGGAUUUUUGAUGAUGCCCACAGUACGGAUAAAAGCUUUUUUUUUUUAAUCCUUAGCUUUUUCACUGAAAUUUUCGUAGAAUUAUAAUGAUUGCAUCAAUUUAGAUCGAAUAUAUGGAUGACCCUAAAUAAGCUGUUUAUUUAUUGUAUAAUUAACCUAUGUAUAUAUAUUUGUGGUUGUGACUUGUGGGACUUAGAUUAACGAUAAGAUCAUGCAUCUAUGGAAAUUAUUCGAUGUACCCUAUACAAAUUUUAUUAGGUUCCCUAGAAACUUAACCAGCGCUAUACAUAUUUGCACAUGGAUUCGUAGAUAUUGGGGGGGAAAAAAAAAGAAGAGAACAACUAAUUUCUCCAUGAUGUUGUUCGCAAACCUUUUUUUUUUUUUUUAGAGAGAGAUAGAUAGCACGUUAUUCGUAUCGUUUAUUUUAUUUAAAAAUAAACUUAGCUGGAAACAUGUAAUUAGGAUUCGAACUUGAGACCUCGGAUAUCAACCACCAAGUUCUUCGCCAUUUGUUUUAGGGACGGUCGGUGUUGUUCGCAAACAUUUGUGAUCAUUUUUUGUAUUUUGGUCUCCGGCAUCUGGAGUUCACACUCUUUCGGUGGAAGAUACAAUUAUUAAUUCAUUCGAUCCGAGCUCAUUAUUACUGGGUACGAAGAGAGAUGGAAUUAUCUGCAUUUAAUUUCCUACAGAGUCAUGAAAAGAUGAGUAAUGUUUAUAUACGUAGACAUUGCAUGCUAAAUUUUGGUUUCAUGUGGUUUGUGGUUUGGCGCCAUUGCUCGCAGUAGGUGCAUCUACAGCGUGUAAACUAAACAAUUAAUUACUAGUCUUUAAUUAUUUGCUAAAAUAUUGUGUAAAAAUAAUCGAUUAUUUGAACAAACCGAAUUUUAUAUAUUGAAAUAAAUUUUAUACUCAACACUUAAAAAGACUCAAAAUUAGCAUUUAUGGAUACACAUAUUAAUUAAAAAUAUAUCCUCAAAAUUAUACAACUCAUUUAGGCACAAAGUAGAGAGCCCAUGCUUUUUGCAUGGACAAACUCAAACCAAACCUAGUACGAGGAAGAAGUUGCAUGAUUAAGCCAAAACUUAAAAGAGUCAUUCUAAUUUUAUAAGAAUAAAUAUAGAGAAAUUAAUGGACAGUGAUAUUGAUGUUAGCAGUAGUACGUAGUAGUCUCAGUGCCGCCACCACCCAUCGCUAGCGGUGACGGUGGUGGUGCACGGCCGAUUGAUGUCGUUUCGGAGACUCCUCCCCUCAGGCUCCUAUCUUGAAAUCCUCCUCGUCGUCCUAUGCUACCUCUUCAUCUCCAUCCUCCUCCUCCUCAUCCGCCACCACCGCCACCGCCGCCGCCUUCGUCACGUCCCCUUCAACUGGCCCGUUGUCGGCAUGCUCCCGUCCCUCGCCGCGGAGUUCCAUCGCCUCCACGACUUCUUCGCUGACGCCCUCCGCGAGUCCGGGUGCACCCUGGCCUUCACGGGGCCGUGGCUCUCCCGCAUGGCCUUCCUCCUGACGUGCGACCCCGCCAACGCCCACCACAUCUUCGACUCCAACUUCGCCACCUACCCCAAGGGCCCCGCCUUCGCCGACACCUUCGACGUCCUCGGCCGCGGCAUCCUCAACUCCGACGCCGCCGCGUGGCGCGCCCACCGCCGCCUCGCCCACGCCCUCCUCGGCCACCGCGCCUUCCGCUCCCACGCGGCCGCCACCGCCUCCGCCCACGUGGAGCGCAGCCUCGUGCCCUUCAUGGACCACGCCGCCGACGCCCGCCACGUGGUGGACCUGGAGGACGUGCUCGCACGGCACGCGUUCGACGUCACGUGCGCGACCGUGCUGGGGGCCGAGACCGCGUGCCUGUCCCCGAGCCUCCCCGCGGUCCCGUUCGCCGAGUCAUCCCGCCGAGCUGGUGGAAGCUGCUGAGGUGGCUCAACGUCGGGAGCGAGCGGAGGCUGGCGCGCGCCACGUCGGCCAUCGACGAGUUCAUCGCCGACGAGAUCUCCAAGCGCAAACAGAUCGCCACCGACCGCGGCGUCGACCUGCUGACCAUGUACAUGAACCUGCCCGAGGAGGAGUUGACCGGGUUCGACCGCGACGGGUUCCUCCGCGACACGGCGCUCACGUUCAUGCUCGCGGGUAAGGACACCAUCGCCGCCUCGCUCGCGUGGUUCUUCUAUGCGGUCGCCACGCACCCAGAAGCCGAGGCCAACAUUCUCCGCGAGCUGCGCGCGCUCCACGCGGAUCCCGCCGCGCCACGCAAGGUGUUCGGUGCGGACGCCCUCAGAAACUGCGUGUACCUCCGCGCCGCCAUUCUCGAAUCGCUCCGGCUGUUUCCGCCAAUUCCCUUCGAGGAAAAGGAAGCUGCGGUCACCGACGUGCUACCGAGCGGCGCGAAGGUGGAGAAGGGGACGAGGAUUGUGGUGUCGCUGUACGCGAUGGCGAGGAUGGAGGGGGUGUGGGGGAAGGACUGCUCGGAGUAUAAGCCGGAGCGGUGGAUAUCGGCGUCGGGGAAGCUGCGGCACGAGCCACCGUAUAAGUUUCUGGAAGGACGGUUUCUUUGCCGUCUUGACUUCUUAAAGUGAAAGUAUCGAUACUUUAUUUGUCCCCUAUUUAUUAAAAGUGGCUUGAGAUAAAGUAGGGUUCCAAGUCAAGUUGCGUUUCAGGUCAGAGUCCAUUUUGUUUAUCCGGGAAUGCCUAUGUUUACCUAAGCCCAACUACCUCGAUGAUCUUAUCUCUACAUUUAUCUUUGUUUUGUAUAAUUUUUUAUAUAAGUAAGCAGAGCAUUUACCCCUCUGAGAAAAGAAGGAAACUAAGUGAAGGUUAAGCAGUUUUUAAGUGUUUUUUAUUCUAAUUUUAAUUGUGCGGGGCUUAGACGGGGUUAGACUGAUGCCUAAGUGGGUCAAACAUAGGGAUACAAAACAUGUCCGUCGUCAAGCACGGACGUACGUAGUUAAACUGGCAGGUAAAUUUUAUGUCUACGUAAAAUUCUUGCUUCACUUUUAUAUAAAUCUUAUCUUAUAAUUCAUUCCUGAUUAAAAAUCUCAAACAAAUCAAGUUUUAAAUAUAAUAAAAUUUUUCAUAAUAACAACGCUCGGCUUAAGGGACUGGGCACUGGGCCAGUUUUUAGGAGAAGCCCCUCGCACAGACCUACUUUUACCGAAGACUACCACUGGGAGCUUCAAACGCUGGAAGCUAACUAGUUCGCUAAGCCGAUUGCUCCCUAGCCUAGUCGGCCCAAGCUUUAGAGAUAUCAUUUAAGCCAAGCCGACCUACUCGGCUUACAUGUCUAGUUCGUUCUUGACUUCAGCCGGCUUUUUAGCUUACUGAUUUCUUGUGUACUUAACCAGCUGAACUUCUCGGCUUACGGAAAUAUAAUUAACCAUUCUUCAUAUCUCCAACUCACACGGCCUACCGUACGUCUGAGUCAACUAGAUGAAUUACUUGAUGAGGAUCCUUCUUGUCAUUUACGCCUUUUUAUUUUCAAUGUUCAUCUGAUGAGGAUUUUUUAUGUCCUUUAACGCUCUUUUAUUCCCGCGAGAAAACAAGUGUCCCUUUUCUGGGGGAAAAUCCCGUAAUAACCAGAUAAAUAUCCAGCGGGGACAACUAGUCAAUAAUACAUAGGUACUAGCCGGUGAUAAGGACUAAAAACCCCUGGUGAAGGUCGGCUAGCCUUGGCGAACGUUGACGAGUGCCAACGAAGUUGAGGGGAAUUAAGCGCGCCGACAAUGUGAAGUUUUAGUAAAGCUACGAGGGCCACGUGUCGUUCUAACGAUGGAAAUUUACCCUAUAGCCGUAUGGUGGACAGGCGUGGAUUAACCGAGUUGUUAGCGGGGGAGCCGUCGAAAGCUUCAUUUCGAAGCCAUCGACCGCAUUAGACUCCGCGCUAAUGAAAAGUUUAGAGAUCAUGCCAAAGCAGAGUUGGCAGGCGAAGAAAGAAGACGAUUUUAGGGCGGUAGCGAAAUCAUUGUUCACGCUAGGCUCCGCACCAAAAGCUAGGUUAGUUAAAGUUUAAGAGACAUGCUCAUCAACUGCAUUAAGCUCCGCGCUAAGAUUUGGGAGACAUGCCAAAUCAAAGCCGGCAGGUAAAGUAAAGAUGCGGGGACUAGGACGGUAGAUAAAAACAGAAUAUACGCCGUAAUUAAUCCAGUAGAAUUAAUGGCGACAGAUAAGUAAUAAUAUCGGCUGUAGCCUUGAGCGAAGCUAUGCUGCUAAGCUACGCUGUCGGAAAAGAAAGAAGAAACGGCUCGAAGAUUAAAGAAAACAGAAAAAGCAAAGAGAAAUGAAGAAAGAACAGAAGAGGCUGGAGAUAAAGAGCAGGGGUCGAGGACAAGUGAUGGAAGAAGGAAUCGUAGAAAAGCGAAGCUAAUUACCGCGAUGAAGGCGGAAACGGAUGUGCAGGAAGUGACCUGAUAUGAGACGAAUUUAGUAUAGAGCGAUGUCUGGGAUGAUCUAAGUAAAACCCAGAAAGGAAAUGACUUCUGGGCGGACGGCUACUAAAAGGAAUAAGAUCGCUGUCAGAAGGUAACCGCCGGUUUAGGUAAGUAGAGGUAAGCUUUUUCGGAAGCUUAGACCAGUUCACAAAGUUUACGAAUAAACUGAACCAAUCUAACUCACCUUCCACGGAUGCCACUGAAAAACCGUCCUUCAGCCCUAGAUGCUUCGAUAAGCUGAGAGAGCCUUUGGAGGACAUCGGCUGUUAGAAGAAGAUCGAAGAUGAGAGACAAAAACUAGGGUACAAAGGUUACAAAAAGAAAAGUUUCCUCCUGGAGAAUGAGGCUGAGAGAAUCUACAUCGACGGUAGUAGCCAAAUGCCGGAGUACCUCAAUGGGAGAGGUACCGGAUGUUAGGACUACCACAGAGACUAAAACUCCGAGUAGAACUGGAGUGACUGGACCGAAUAAGGUUCAAGUAGGCAUUUAAACGUCCACUUAGAGGACGGGGGCAGUGAUCCUUCCUUGUGUGUCGCAAGGAGGAUAUGACCAACACAGUAUUAGAGAAGACAUGAGCAAGCGUGUUCUAAUUAGCCCUGAAAUAGGGUUAGCGGCAACCAAACUGAUUGCCGUUAUCUAAUCGGGAGCCCGGAAUGAAAGAACGAAAACAAAUAUCUUUUAAAAAAAUAAUGUAAUUUGGUGAUGGGAGACCUCUUCCGCAUUGCUAAUCAAGCCCAACACCACAAAAGACCAAAAAUGUUUACAAAAACGUUUAAAUAAAAGGGCUAAACACGGCUUGGGGAAAUCUAUGCUCAAGCUGACGAGUAAACUAAGAAUGCCUGAAUGAGAGCCGACAGGAGGCGGUGAUUGAAGUCCGGUAGUAGGACUAAAAUAAUGAAUAAAAUUUUACAAAAUACUUAGGGUAAGAGUAAAGAGGUAGGUGACCAGAGGUAAACAACUAGUACAGUAACCGGGUAGAACCGAAGACCGUUCUAUAUUUCGGAAAAUUCCGCUUGAACGAAGAAGAGCACGGCUGCUUAUACGUCUACAAACCAUGUGAAAAAACCGAUGUUCGCUAAAUGUGUAGCCGUAAUUUAGCGUGAGCUUUGAAAACGGAUCAUGACUCCAAAUAAGAGUAGUCAAGCAUCGUGCAGUUAAACCUAAGUGGGUUCGUUAGGGACGAGAUCGGUUCAAGAAGUGCCGGUUAUGACGACAACUGACUGGGGGAUGGUUCUCAUAUCGGCUCCAACUAACCUAGAGCUGAUACCCCUUAGCGGAAACCGCCAAGAAGUUUAAUCAUUCGAAGUCCGGUUUAAUAUGUCCCCACCAUCCAAAAGCAUAUGGCAGUGGACCCUAGUAAAACGGCUAGUGUAAAAGUUAGCUAGACGUCAUGUCCACAACAGUGCGGGGCUCGGGCGAUGGUUAAACCAGGCUAAGCCCUCGCAGCUUGUUUGCGGCCUGCCUGUCGUAGAGGGAACGGCCGGGUUCCGAGCUGUUGUCUUAGUACAUGUAUCUUAACGGGUCCUUAUUAAGUUAAUAUAUGUACUAUUCGUGCCCGUGGAAAGCGUAAAAAAUUGAAGAAGCCGAAAAGGUUUCGUGUAGGUGAGCUGUUAAUCAGGUAGGACUUACUUCAGGUUGGGAGCCUAAAGCUCUUAAGUGAAGAAAUGUCCGCAAGGCGGUCUGAUAAGAGGGUUAGCCAUGUUGAGAGACGAAUAUCAGUAAAAAGAAAGUGAAAAUUUUAGAUAUUUUUAUUAAAAAACGAAUGAACAGAGAGUCUAUGUCGCCAUGGAUAGGGUUAACUAGGACGACGAAGUAGACACGGUUUUCUUCUUGGUCUCCUCUAAAGACUAUAGGAUGGAGGAAAAAGCCAUUAUGUGAGACGAAAAGAAACCAUCAGUUAAGGUCAAAACGGAAAUAAAGUGAGGAUAGAUAUUUGCGAAUAAAACGGAAAUAAAGUGAGGAUAGAUGUCAGCUAAGGUCAAAGAGUUAGCCGGGGUCGAAGUCUCUUUUCUGGCUAACUUUGAUGAGUUAGAUGAGGAGGCGGCGGAGGUUUUGCCGUAUUUAGUUAGCAAUUUUCUGGUGUAAGCGUAAGGGUUGUUCGGCUUCUGCGAAGAAGCCGACUACAUAGCUUCCUUCCUCGGCUUCUGUACGGAAGCCGACUAUAGGCUUUUGCUUCUUGGCUUCACGGUUGAAGCCAACGAUGACUUCAUAGUCUCCUCUCUCGGCUUCUUUGUGGAAACCGAUUACAGGGGUUCCCUUUUUGGCUUCAGUGUGGAAGCCGGCGACUGAAUUAUGUUUUGAGACAAGGAUUGCUCGGCUAAUUCUAACUCCAUUUUAGUGAAAUCAAAGGAUAUGACUUAGAAAAAGAAAAUGGAUAAAUAGUAAAAGAGAAUUAUUUUGUCAGAAAGGGACUUUCUCAGAUAAAACGAAGAAGAUACUUCUGCAUCUACCUAUCCGUUGAAGCGGCCCUGCAAGCGGAUUUUUUCUCUGUUCUCCGUCUCUCUUUCUCCCACAGAGUUCUUUACUCGUUUCUAAACGGCUGUUCACUACGUCGUAGAGGAGAAAGAUAAGGUUACUGUCGUUGUCUCCCUCUUUUACAUUUACAUGGAAACCUUCUUCCGCAACUUCCUCGUGCUGGUCUCGCAGUAAACUGAGGACUUCGGAGUAGCAGACAGGGUCUUCUGGAAGACAGACGUUAAGAAGUGAGAGAGGAUCAAAGCUCAGGGUUAAGAUUACUCCCUCUACUGAGUAGUUGAUAAUGUUACAGUAGUCUGUGAGUUGUCUUUAAACUACUCACAGAUGCUUAUAUGUCGUUACCAGAGGGUAGGAAUCGAGUUUUAGGUUUCGUUAAACUAGCCGACACGCGAGAGAACGAACUGAAUAGGCUAGUCAGCCUAUAAAGAAGACGGCCGUUCACAAAACACCUCUGGAACAGUAGGGUUGAAAGAAGAAAAAACAGAGCCGUUGUUAGAAACCCACGGCUCGAAAAUAGGGAACUAGUUAUAAAAGUAGUUCAACUAGUAAAAUUCUUUUAAUAUGGGCUCCAUCGCCGAGGAUAAUGACUGCAUUCGGCUCUUCUGGUUUAGAACCUUUUGGUUCUUAGCCGAGACGUUGUUGUAUAAAAUUGAGAAUUCCUUCUCAAUCGACGUCGGCUUAGUUGAGACUGUGAAUGAAGACUCGCAGCUGAGGAGAAUGUUUCAGUUGACUUCUGAUUUUUCCUACUUCCUCACCUAUCAACCAACUUACCAUACUAGAUUGCCCACUUUUACUAGUUUUCCCAUUUAGAUUGCCGCCUUUUGAACCAUCGUGGUUUACGAAGUACGAUAAUUAUUGUAUCAUCGGCCUGAUAUAUAUAUAUAUAUAUAUAUAUAUAUUUUCGACUUGUGGAUUUGAUCGUAAUUAAUAGUUAGUGCAAGGAGAAGAAUUCGGAUUGGUUGUAGGGCAAGAAGUAUACGUCAUAGUGACUCAAGAGGCCGUGGUGGAGCACAGGGAGGUGGUGGAGGUGCGCUUUUAACAGAUAGUGCCGGCGGCGCCAGUGGAAGUCGACGCAGUCGCGGUCUAGGAAGGGGUCUGUGUAGGAACCGGGGCGCAACUUGCGNNNNNNNNNNNNNNNNNNNNNNNNNCCUCUCUUUAGCGCCGGCUAACUCCAGCUUUAGCACCGGCUUGCUUCCCUGCCGACUCCUUCUACCCCUUCUUCUGCUGUUACCGCUCCCCGUUUUACCAGUAAAAUGUGUGGCAUUGGGGGGACACUUAUAAAAAGUAAAAUGUCCCCCCGUUUCACAUCCAAAAAUUUACAGUCCGCCCCUUUCACUUUUUUGCCCAAUAAUGCAUUCCCAAAAAACAUUAAAUCGGAUUUUAAACACUCAUUAAUAUUGUAAUGCAUCAUUUCUUCUACUAAACAAAUGUUUAUUUGGAGUGUUAAAAAAUGUGUGAUGUUUUAAGUCACCAACCUAAAGUUGGAACUUUAAUAUUUAGUACGAAUAGAAGAACACUAAAUGUGAAAAAGUGAUCAAUCUAUAAUGUUAGAUACACCAAACAUUUUAUAAUAUUUUAAUUUUAAAAUUUAAUUAUUAAACUUAAAUUUAAAAAUUUUAAUAUUUAGUACGAAUAGAAGAACACUAAAUGUGAAAAAGUGAUCAAUCUAUAAUUAUAGAUACAACCAAACAUUUUAUAAUAUUUUAAAUAAAUCCGAUUUAAUGUCUUUUGGGGGAAUAUAUAUAUGUAUAAAAAAAUGAAAAGGAGGGAUUGAAAGUUUUUGGAUAUAAAAUGGAAGAACUGUAAAGUUCAACAACGUAAAUCGAGGGGAGGCAGUUCUGAAGUAAUGAUAAGACAGGUAAAGAAUAUUAUUAAAUAUUAUUUUUAUGAGAAGCUUUGUUAUAUUUAUAUAAUUUUCCAAUAAAAAAAAAAUAUCUUCUUCAUACCCAUUAAACCACUCAAACGGGAGAGAUAAUUGUGAAAUGGGAAGACUUUUAUAAAGAAAAAAAAAAAAAACUCUCUUUCCAUCGUACGAUGGGCAAAGCAAAUAAAAAAAAAUUCUAUAUUUGAAUCGACUUUUACACUUAGUCGAUUCUAAGCUUGAACCUUGGAGCCCAUGAUUGGUGGUUCGGGAAACGGUGAAUACGAUCCCUGCCGGCUAUGUAAAGAUUUCAAAAUUGCUCCGUUUUAUAUUUAAAAACUUUUAGUUUUUCUCGUUCAUUUUUUUGCCUAUAAAUUUUCUUUCAAUAGACAUAAAAUCGUAAAUAAAUAUUCAUAUUAUAAUGAGAGCAUGUUUACUCCAAAAGUUAAGUUGGUGAGACACUCCUACGUAGACCAAGAUAUAAGAUUUGUAUAAGGAUAAGCUAUUUUUAAGUUUUAGGCUGGCAAUACCAAAGCUAAUCUCAUUUAACGAACAAACUAAGAAUUUGAUAUUCAGUCCACUGUAAAACUAAGGGUUUAAAAUUAAACAACAUUAAAGACCGAACUUGAAUAUUUAACAAUAUCAGUUCGGAGUGUUAGAUUAAAUCAAUCGAUUUAAUAACUUUUAAUAACUAUAUUUUCACUACACUUUUAUAGAUAUUUUGAUAUACUUCGGUCUUAUUAAGAACGGUGUACCGUUCAAUAGAAAGUAGGGAGAAACUUUCUUGUUUUACUCUUUAAAUUAUUAAUUAUUAACUAUAUUUAUAUAUUAGUGUUAUUAUUGAUAUCAAAUUAUAUAUUAAUUAUGUAUAUUAAUUGGAUUAUAACAGUUAUUAGAAAAACCGAAGGUACUAAUUAUUAACUUUCAUUAAUUGAAGUAAGAGAUGAAAUUUGUUUAGUUUUAAAAAUUUAAUUACGUGUAAAUUAAACUGGUAAAAAAAAAGAUUCCCACCUUAGAAAUUUAUUUCAAUAGUUAUUAUAAAAAAAAUCAAACCAUCAAGUAGAUUACUUUUAAUUUAAUCUUUUAAUUUAAGUAGUAAAUGAGAAAAGAUAUAACAGAAAAGAAAAAGUAUCUAUUGUCAAUAUUUUUAAAUGUUAAUAUUCGUGUGAUAUUUAUAACCGAUCUCAUCUCACUUUUUAAACAAUCCAAAAACCAGUUAUUAUAACAAAGAAAAGAACGAAAGGGUUAAUCUAAUGGAAUAAGAGGAAAAGAAAAAAAAAACAGUACGUAAGUAUCGCAGGGUCAAAAAAUAUAAAAAUCGGUUAAGUGUAGUAAUAGGAAAUACCUUUUUCAUCUAAAUAGACUAGUUUAAUUAUAUAAGUAAACUAAUCUCUUAUUCUAUUAGUUAAUUUUUGAAUCACAUUCAAUUGGUUAACCAAAAAAAAAGGAAAUACAAAAAGAUAAUUAAAAAUUAUGUGUUACGGUGGUUCUAAACUAUACAAGUAGAUAUCUAUUAAAUAAUAAUGUAUAUAUAUUAUAUCAUGUAUAAAAAUAUAUCCGUCUUUUAUUAGAGGACAUAGUAUAAACUAUGUGAAUCCGGGCAAACCUAACCCAUAUUUAAUUUUAAAAAUUUAAACGAUUUUAUAAUGUUUAAUAAAUAAUUUUAAAUAUAUUUAAUUUUAUAAAUUUAAACUAUUUUAUAAUAAAUAGGCGGCGUUUCGCGCCCGGGAUGUGAUCAAUACCAACUACUACGCUAUUUUUAAUUCUACAACAUAGUGAAAAUGUAGUUGCUACGUAGUUAUAAAUUAGUUGAUUCAACCCAACACUUUGAACUAAUAUUAUUAAAAUUUUAAAUCUCGGUUUUUAAUGUUGUUGUUUUUUUAAAAUCCCGAUUUCACAGUGGAUCGAGUAUCAAACUCCUGUUUUGUAAGUUAAAUAGGUAACAAUACUAAAAACAAGUAAUAGAUCUAAUUUUAAUUAUUGAGACUAGAGAUUAUUUCUUAGACUAGAAAAUAAAAACCCUUCAGCAAGAUAAAACUAACAAGUAAAAUAUAGACAACUAUCCGAGAUAAUAUUAAAACUUUUUAAUUCUUUUAGAUGAAAAUCAUAAAAUUAAUUUACGAGAACUAGUAAAAUUGUUAUACAUUACAGCUAAGUUUUCGAGAUAGUAUUUUUUAUUCAACUAUCAUGCUUCCCGACGUAUAAGUAUUCCUAUACCAUCGGGAAGAACAACCAAAUUUACCCGUUCGUAAGACGGUAUGCCGCCAUCCGAUUUAAUCCGGCUCAAUGUAAACUUUACUGCUCUGCAGCUCAUCCUGGUUCGAUACAAGCUUCACCACCCUCCGAUCAACCCGGCUCAGUGUUAACUCUGUGCACCCGUGAUAGAGGUAUGUGAAUAUUUACUUAAUCAACAUAAAAAAAUUGUUGAACUCGAAAACCUUAUUUACCAAUUGCAGUCGAUCGCUAGGGUUAACCAUGAUUUCUAUUUCCGGUGCCCAAGUUAAAGACGUAUGACGUUUAAACAUACCCGCCAACCCUAACCACCGUAUUUCCCCAGUUGUAAGACAAGACAACACCUUUUGGUUCAAUCCGGUUCAGUGCAAACUUUACCACCCUCGGACUAAAUCGACUCAGUGUUAGUUCUGUACACCUCGACAUACGAGUCAAUCUGAACUAAUUCUAAUAAAUUUUAUAGAAUUUUUAUUUUAAGCGAUACAAACUAUAAUAAAUGAAUAUCACUAGCUAUCAUAAAUUAUAUUACAUCUCGUAUACUUCUUAAAUCUUUAGUUUAAAAUAUUGAAAAUUUUAAAUACUAUCUCAGUCAGUUCAAUCAUAUUUUAUUUGUCAGUUUUAGCUUGCUGAAAGAUUUUUAUUUCUUAGCUUAACAAGUUAAGUUCUACUUUCAAUAAUUAGAACUAGAUCUAUUACUUAUCUUAAAACAUGUUUUUUAAAUUGACUAAGGUUAACAAGAUAUGACAAUUUAAUCUUUUGCAGGAUAUGGCCGUUAAUUUUAACAGUUAAAACUUCGUAAAACUAACAUUCUACCUACUAUAGUUUUUAAAUACUUUAAGUUAAAAGUUUUAUAAAUUUACGAGAUUUAAUUUAUAUUGUGAUAUUUAACAGCUAAGCCUUCGAGUUUAUAGCUUGUACCGAAUACUCAUGAUUCCACUAGCAACAUUGUGGUGUUAGCAGGCUGUAGUAUGCUUUUAUACUAACUCUACCUUUUAUAUUCUCUAGUACCUGAGAUUAGAUAAUGAUAUAUAUUUUCAUCUUGGGAAUUACUUGGGAUACACUCUUCGACUGUGCACCGAAAGAUAUACGAAUGGUGCACAGUUUGAGUUUAUACCUAUAAAUCAAUAAAUUUUAAUAACCAACGCUUUAUUCGUUAUUAGACAACGCUUAAUAAACUUUACCAAUCAACGCUUUUUUUACCAGUUUGAGUUUAAAGCAUAACCGUUUAUUAAUUAAUAAAUUUUAAUAACCAACUCUUUAUACAUUAUUAGACAACGCUUAAUAAACUUUACUAACCAACGCUUUUUUAGCCAUAUCUACUGGUUUCAUUUUUGCUUUACUAACCGCCAACGAAACUUUAAUAAGAAACGCUUUUUUAAAUAUUCAUCAUAUCUAUAUUAAAAAUGAAGCAUUAAAAAAAAAGAGAUGACAGUAAGCAUUAAAACAAAAGAGAUGACAGUGAGGACGUUAAAAGAACCAAGAAUUUACAACUACGAAAUUUUGUCUUAUAUAUAAAAAAAUAACUCUUCCUUUUAUAAAUAGAAAUAAACUCUUAUUUAAUGAUGAAUCAAUUAUUAAACUUUACUAACCAACUCUUAAAGACCUGUAUUUUAUAAUCAUUUUUUACUAUCUCCAUAAACCCUUAUUUAAUGAUAAAUCAAAUAAUAAACUUUACUAACCGAGUUUUAAUGACCUAUAUUUUUAUAAUUAUUUUUUCUAUCUCUGUAAAUACCUUUCUCUUUUUUAAUUUUUAAGUGCGAAAAGAUUUUUUAAUUAUAGAAAUAUUACGAUAAUUUUUAGUGGAUAUUACUUUCUCUAAAAUAAAGUUUCAAUAACUUUAUAAACUCUUUAAAUACCCAUAAUACAACGCUUUCUUAAUCGCCACACCUAUAAUGUGCAUCUUCAGAAAUAAACUCUUAUUUAAUAAUGAAUCAAUUAAUAAAUUUUACUAACCAACUUUUAAAAAACUGUAUUUUUAUAAUCAUUUUUUCCUAUCUCCGUAAAAACCUUUCUCCUUUUUUAAAUUUUGAGUGUAGUGAGGACAUUAAAAGAAGCGAGAAUUUAUAACUACGAAAUUUUAUCUUGUAUAAUAAAGGGAUGACAGUGAAGACAUUAAAAGUAAAGCAUUAAAAAAAGGGAAGACAGUGAGUACAUUGAAAAGUAGAAGUACGUUGUUUUAAAAAAAGAAAUAUAAAAGAAUUUUUGGUUGUAGAUAUAUAAAAACUUAGAAUUUUCGUUGUCAUCCUUGUAUUAUAUACACACGAAUAAGAUUUAACACAGUUUAUACUUUCAAAUCAACUAGAGUAAUAUACGAAUUUAUAAUUAUAGUAAACAUUAAAAGUAUAGUUAAAAUCAAUAGUAAAAUAAAGCGUGUAGUUAUACAUUUACAUUUAACAAAACGUAUAGUUAAAUAUCUAUUAUCUCGUCCUAACUUAAAACGUAAAAUCAACUUAUAAAUGAAACCAGGUUUAAAAAAAAAAGAGAUCGAACACAUGAAAUUAUACAUGAUAUUAAUUCUAACUAUCAUAUAAAAAAAUAAACAAUUUUUUAUAUUUUAAUUAAUCUUUUAAAAAAACAAUAGUAGUGUAUUAUUAAAAAUAAUAAGAUAUAAUAAUAUAAUCGGCACGUAGCGUGCCCACUUUUAGAUCAUUAUUAUAUAUUGACUUGAAAUUUUCUUCUCCACCUGCUCCUCUUUUCCUCUUGCACCCUCGCCGCCCUCGAUUUCGGCGACAGUAGGAGAAAAUCGAGGUGGGCGACAGUAGGAGAAGGGCAAAAAAGGCGAAGGCGAGGCGGCGAAGGAUGGCGAAGGGGAUGUGGGUAAGGGUGAGGCAGUGGAGGACGGCGAGGCGGCUAGGCGGCGAGGCGGCGAGGCGGCGGCGAGGUGGCGAGCCGGAGGGAGUCGAAGCAACAGGGAGAUGGCGGAGGGGUAUUUUCGGCAUAAAAAUAUAUUUUUUAACGGAACCCUGACGGAACCCUAACGGUAGGGGGUGAAGUGCACAUUUUUUAUUUUACAAGGGGGCAAAGUGUAGGUUUUUAAAUGUCAGGGAGGGAAAGUGAAAAAGCGGGUUAUUACAAGAGGGUUUUCUGUAAUUUAGCCAUAUAUAUAUAUAUAAAAUGAUAAACAGUAACAGUAGCAUGCAUGCAUGGCACGUUUUAUCGUGACAAAAUUGCAAAUGAUAACAAAAAUAUAUAGAUCGAGCUCAUUUUAAGUAAAAUGUUACGUAUUUUUUUUAAAAAAGAUAGCAUACUAUUCACUUUAUUCAUUAAAAAGAUGAAUUAAGUUACAAAUGUAAAGCAACUAAGACCUCGGUGUUGGUUUAAAUGGGUCAGCAUCCUGCUCUGUGGCGAGAGGUUAUUUCGGGCCGAGUCAUGUUCGAAAUGACGUGAAGCUGGGUGGGCCGAGUCAUGUUUGAAGUGACAUGAGGCUGGGUAGGCCGAAUCACAAUUGAGAUCCGUGGGCGUUGUAUCUAAUACGCUUUAAGUGAAUUGGUUGCGUAUUUCUAACAGCUCGAGCUUUUGGGAUUAAUAGUUAGUGUCAACGAUCCGACACUUGGUUCUGGUGUGCUGACGAACAAAAAAAAAGAAAUAAACAAAACAAAACCUCUACCAAUUACGGUAGUCCCGAUUUGCGGAGAGAGCUCACUCCUAUAGGUUCAUCAACUGUUGAAUCUUGUGAACUGCUAGCAGAGGGUCAAAUUGGGCUUUUAUAAAGAUCACACCGUUCCUAACAUCCCAAGUGACCCACCAAUAGGCUAUUAGACUAUAUACUUAGCCUAGUGCUCAUUUAUUGCAUUCUUUUCCUAACCAUCCACCUAUUCCAGACCAAAUUACUUUAUCUCCCAAAUCCCUAGACUGGACACCGUCCAAGGCCAUUGCUACUAAAAGUCUAAUAAAAACACAUCGUGUGAAUAUAUGAUCCAUAGUUUCUUAUUCAACCUCACACAACACACAGGUUGUGUUUCUGGUCCAUCUUUUCUUUUGUAGAUUAUAGACUGUAUGGGGUCUUUAUUGAGAACGAGUCAGCAAAACACUUUCACUUUUAAGAGUAUUCUAAGUCUCCAGACCUUGCUAGCUCGGAUGUCCCUCGUGCCCCUAUCACUCAGUACCGAAUAGGCCGACUUCACUGUGAAUAUUCCAUCCGGGCUCCAACACCAAAGCACACUGUCUAGUCUCUAUUCCGGUCUGAAUUUGAAGAUUCUCUCCCUAAGAGCUGAAAAACUAGGACACAAUCAAGCUAAACUAAAUCCUCAAAUCUCCGCGUCAAGCCGCAUAACCUUAAGGAAAAGGGCCCUCCAGACUUCCCUAGUAAGACUCCGGAUGCUGCUUAUUCGUAUAUAUAUGCCGAAGAUGCUUACUUGUGCCACAAAUCAAUCGGUCCAUGGGUCUCGAGACCCUGGUUGUCUCAUCUCUAUAGCCUAAUUCAUUUAUUCAAUGAAUGAAGCAGAUAGCGUGCUACCUAUUCUCAAAAAAAAAAAGAAAAAAAGAAAAAAAAAGAGAUCCAUGGGAUGCAGCGCCAAAGAAAGAUGAAGGAUGUACUGAUAUCAAAUCCAACCGUCACUCGCCACACAUAUCACUAAUUUCAAAUUUUUGCAACUCGUCGUAGAGAACACCUCGGGGAAUGAUAAUUGCAAAGUGAUUAUCCCACACCAAUGGUCCAACAAGAAAAUAAAAAAUACUCCCAUUGCUAAACUUAUAGUAUUCUCCUCAUUUGAAGAUUUUGUUCUAACUUAGUAGGUUUUUAAUAUUAUGUAUUAUGCCACCUUUUGUAGGUUUUUAAUGUGCUAGCUAUAAAUUAUGUGAUUUGUAGCUUGAAUAAAGAGUUUUUUUUUUUUUUUUUUGNAUAUACAUGCUAAGAAAAGAAAAUGAUAAACAGUUAACAGUAGCAUGCAUGCAUGGCACGUUUUAUCGUGACAAAAUUGCAAAUGAUAACAAAAAUAUAUAGAUCGAGUUCAUUUUAAGUAAAAUGUUAUGUAUUUUUUUAGAAAAAGAUAGCAUACUAUCCACUUUAUUCAUUAAAAAGAUGAAUUAAGCUACAAAUGUAAAGCAACUGAGACCUCGAUGUUGGUUUAAAUGGGUCAGCAUUCUGCCCUGUGUUGAGAGGUUAUUUUGGGCCGAGUCAUGUUCGAAAUGGCGUGAAGCUGGGUAAGCCGAGUCAUGUUCGAAGUGGCAUGAGGCUGGAUGGGCCGAAUCACAAUUGAGAUCCGUGGGCGUUGUAUCUAAUACGCUUUAAGUGAAUUGGUUGCGUAUUUCUAACUGCUCGAGCUUUUGGAUUAAUGGUUAAUGCCAAUGAUCCGACACUUGGUUCUGGUGUGCUGACGAACAAAAAAAAGAAAUAAACAAAACAAAACCUCUACCAAUUACGGUAGUCCCGAUUUGCGGAGAGAACUCACUCCCAUAGGUUCAUCAAUUGUUGAAUCUUGUGAACUGCUAGCAGAGGGUCAAAUUGGACUUUUAUAAAGAUUGAACCGUUCCUACUUCCUAACAUCCCAAGUGACCCACCAACAAGCUAUUAGACCAGUUAGCCUAGUGCUCAUUGACGGCAUUCUUUUCCUACAAACCAAAUUUACUUUAUCUCCCAAAUCCUUAGACUGGACACCGUCCAAGGCCAUUGCUACUAAAAAGUCUAAUAAAAACACAUCAUGUGAAUAUAUGAUCCAUAGUUUCCUAUUCAACCUCACACAACACACAGGUUGUGUUUCUGGUCCAUCUUUUCUUUCGUAGAUUAUAUACUGUAAGAGGUCUUUUAUUGAAAACGAGCCAGUAAAACACUUUCACUUUUAAGAGUAUUCUAAAUCUCCAGACCUUGCUAGCUCGGGUGUCCCUUGUGCCCCUAUCACUCAGUACCGAAUAGGCCGACUUCACCGUGAAUAUUCCAUCCGGGGUCCAACACCAAAGCACACUGUCUAGUUUCUAUUCCGGUCUGAAUUUGAAGAUUCUCUCCCUAAGAGCUGAAAAACUAGGACACAAUCAAGCUAAACUAAAUCCUCAAAUCUCCGCGUCAAGCAGCACAACCUUAAGAAAGAGGGCCCUCCAGACUUCCCUAGAAAGACUCCGGAUGCUGCUUAUUCGUAUAUAUAUGCCGAAGAUGCUUAUUUGUGCCACAAAUCAAUUGGUCCAUGGGUCUCGAGAUCCUGGUUGUCUCAUCUCUGUAGCCUAAUUCAUUUAUUCAAUGAAUGAAACAGGUAGCGUGCUAUCUAUUCUCAAAAAAAAAAAAAAAAAAAAAAAAAGAUCCAUGGGAUGCAGCGCCAAAGAAAGAUGAAGGAUGUUCUGAUAUCAAAUCCAACCGUCACUCACCACACAUAUCACUAAUUUCAAAUUUUUGCAACUCGUCGUAGAGUACACCUCGGGGAAUGAUAAUUGCAAAGUGAUUUUCCCACACCAAUGGUCCAACAAAAAAAUAAAAAAUACUCCCAUUGCUCAACUUAUAGUAUUCUCCUUAUUUGAAGAUUUUGUUAUAACUUAGUAGGUUUUUAAUAUUAUGUAUUAUGCCACCUUUUGUAGGUUUUUAAUGUGCUAGCUAUAAAUUAUGUGAUUUGUUGCUAUUUUUUUUUUUUUGGAGAAAUAGGUAGCACGCUACCCGCUUCAUUUAUUUCAUUUAGAAAUAAACUUAGUUGGAAAUGUGAAUCAACUAAGAUUCGAACUUGGAUCUCAGGUACCAACCACCAAACCCUUUGCCACUUCCUUUAGGGACGGUCGGUGUGAUUUGUAGCUGUUGUCGAGUAAAUUUCCAGGAAUAUAUAUAAUGAACAGUUUAGCUACAAAGCAAGUUCCUCACUGUGUACGAUCGAGCCCAUCUAAGAAAAUCAAACGCCCAAUUAGACCACAAUAUACAAACAUUGCUCACAACGCUAGGAGCCCAUCAUGGCCUAAUUAAAGUAAUUAGCCCGGUCCAAUUUCAAUUAAGCAUUUUGAUUAGCUAGAUAAAGUCUUGGGCUUAGAACUACAUGUGUCAUUUAAUUUCAAGUUGGGCUGGUUUGCUAAGUAGGAUUGCCCUGAUUUGAGGUAAGNGUUUUUUUUUUUUUGAGAAAUAAGUAGCACGCUACCCGCUUCAUUUAUUUCAUUUAGAAAUAAACUUAGUUGGAAAUGUGAAUCAACUAGGAUUCGAACUUUGAUCUCGGGUACCAACUACCAAACCCUUUGCCACUUCCUCUAGGGACGGUCAGUGUGAUUUGUAGCUGUUGUCGAGUAAAUUUUCAGGAAUAUAUAUAAUGAACAGUUUUAGCUACAAAGCAAGUUCCUCACUGUGUAUGAUCGAGCCCAUCUAAGAAAAUCAAACGCGAAGUAGUUGGGCCCAAUUAGACCACAAUAUACAAACAUUGCUCACAACGCUAGGAGCCCAUCAUGGCCUAAUUAAUGUAAUUAGCCCGGUCCAAUUUCAAUUAAGCAUUUUGAUUAGCUAGAUAAAGUCUUGGGCUUAGAACUAUGUGUCAUUUAAUUUCAAGUUGGGUUGGUUUGCUAAGUAGGAUUGCCCUGAUUUGAGGUAAGAGAAAUUAAUGCUAAUUGUACAAUCAAAACUUGGGCAUAAAUUUAAGUCUUAUAUUAGAUUCAUCCAAAGACUUGGACAAUAUUUUAAAACUUUUAGUAUUAAAAAAAUCAGUGUGUGAUAAUUUUUUUUUUUUUUUGUUUUCAAGAGAAAGGUAGUACGACAUCUAUUUCGUUUAUUUUUUUAGAAAUAAACCUAACUAGAAAUUAUUUUUUAAAAAAUAAAUUUAACUGGAAAUGUAAAAUAAUUAAGACUUAAAACUUGAGAUCUUGGGUUGCACUAGGGAUAUAUAAUUGGUAGUUUGUGAUAAGAUUGGUGUAGAAAAAUAAAUUUUUGGAUAAAGAGAGUGUACGAUUUAUGCUUACUUUUGAAACCCUUUUUGACCAUUAAAACUGAGGUAAUUAAUGCAAGUUUUGAUCUAGUCAAACUUCAUCCGGAGCUUCUUAAUGAGGAGAGUAGCAGUAAACCACUAACCAUGAGGCCGCAUUUAAUUUACUGUUGAGGAUUGCAUAGAUAAGGUAAGUUCUGAUUCUGAUCGUUUUGACAAAACAAAAUUCCAUCGGGAACUUCUUAGUUAAUGAGGAGACCAACAAUAAACCACUAACCAUGAUAUCACAUUUAAUUUACCUUGAGAGGCGCAUAGUUAAAUAAUAGUCUAAUACUUGAGAUCGAUGACAUUUCAUUUACUUUGAGAUUCGCGUAAAUUGAAAUCUAAAUUGACAAGCAAAAUUUUAGUGGGUGUUUAUUAAUUUUUUCUAUCGAAUAUAUAAAAUUGAGCUCCUACACUUUUAAAAGUAUUAAGUCAUUAGUGUUUAUAGGUUUUCGGCUUUAAAUUAAAAAAUGUGCGGUUAAAAUGAUAGUGGUUUUCUAGAGUUGAGUGGGUGGUUGGUUAUAUAGUAUAAUCUAACGAAUAGAAACGAUAAAACAGGUAAAUCUAAUAGCAGAAAACUUAUAAGCACCAAGUGCUUGUUACAAGUAAUUAUUUCCUACUGUCUACAUACAGUUUUUCUUUUUUCCAAAGAAAAUUAAACCUUACUAAAAUACAAACAAAACUAGCAAGUAGCUAGGUCAACGCAUGAAUUGGAAUGUUAAUGGUGAGACAAAUACAUGGAAUGGGGAUUGAAGUGGGCAGUGAAGUUGACUAUACGUAGUUUUUCUAAACACUAUUCAGUGAACAGUCAAAUUUUUAAUUAUAACGACAAAGUCAAGCAAAUCUGAUUUUAUAAAACCAAACACUACCUUAGGUAUUGAUAGAGAGUCAUAUUAUAUCCCAAUCACUUAGUUAGAAAAAUAAAUGGUCAAAAUUUAAAUAGUAUAUUAAAGUAUUGCUCAUUGGUUGAUUUCGGAAUAAACAGUUCUUAUUUAUUUCUAAUACAAGUAUAACUCUCAAGAUGAAUAAUUACUUGUAGCAAGCGGAGUUAGCUAAGGGCUUGGUAGUUACUACGGUUCCAAAUAUAUUAAUUAAUUAGAUAUUUAGUUAAUAAAUAAAUAGAUUAGUCAAAAUAUUAAUUAGCUAAUUAAUUAUCAAUAUGAAUACUACUUAGGGCGUGUUUGGUUUGAAGUCGGAGUCGGAAUCGGAAUCGGAAUCCAAAUAAGCUAGAAUCGGAAUCGGAAUGACUCAUUAUCUAAUUCUGUUUGGUUCAUCACCUGAAUCCGAAUGGGAAUAAAUCAUUCUCAUUGUCGGUGUUUGGUUCAUGUGGAUAUAAAAAACGCAAUCAAAUUAAUAUACUAACAUUAUCUUUAUAAUAUAUUAAUUUAAAUUCAAAUUAAAAAUUAAAUAUUAAAAAUUUACAUCAAAAUUUUGAAANAUUCAUAAAUUUAAUUUAAGUUGAAAUAAAAUUUGAAUAAAACUUUAUAUAAAUUAAAAUUUAAUUUAAAUUCAAAUUUAUAAGUUAUAUUCGAAAUACUUGAUUAAAUUUUAAUUUUUAAUUUAAGUUUAAAUUAAAAUUUAAAAUUAUAUAUUUAAUUUUUAAAUUGUAACUCAUAUUUUAAUUAAAAAAGUUGAAAAAAUAAAUUUAAUCCGAAUAAAUAUCCAUUCUGUCCGAAUUCAGCUUUCAAUCCGACCUCCUAGGCCGGAUUGAAAAAAGAGGUGAUCAGGGGGAUUCCCAUUCCACUCGGGAAUCGAAAUCGGAAUGGGACUCCCGCGUACCAAACACCCACAAAUAGAUUUAUUCAUUCCGAUUCCGAUUCCAGGGGGAAAAAGAAGCGAACUAAACAAGCCCUAAAUGCACAUAAAAUAAUUAAUUAUUUAAUUAGCUAGUAAAUUAUGAAUAAAAUUUAUUGCUCAACUAGUUAAUUAAAUAUUUAUUGAUUUAAUAAUCUAAGUGAUUAGUUAGUUAGCUAAUUAGUAAAUAAAUUAUUAUGUGAUUCAUUGGUUAACAAUAUUUAAUAAAUUUCAACGACAUAAUUAACAAUUUUAGUUGGGAAAUAACAGUUGUAAAUACUAGUUUCACUUACAAGGGUGGAACCAGAAAAUAACCCAUUAAGAGAGAAACAAAAACUUUCAUGGCGAUUGGAUGAAUAAGGAGAAAGAAUAAGUUAAAGGUCUUUAUUCCUUCCUUAUUUCCCAAUCAAACAGUACUUUUGAAAUUUACUCCUCUCCUUAUGGUCAAAAAAAAAAAAAAAGAAGCAAUAAAAUAUAAUUUAAGACUGUAGAGGUAGGGCCUGGAACUUGCAUAGUUGCAUGAUAAAGUUAUGAUGUGGUGUGUAGAAAGAGACUUUUCAUUUAUGCCAAGGCUCUGACCCUGGCAAUUAUGUAGCAAUCCCCUAAUAAGGAACAGUAACGACACCCACUUAAUCAUAAUUUUUCUUUUUCGAUCCAUUAAACAAAUUAAAUAUUUUGUGUUUUUUAAAUAUUGUCGCUGUUAAGCUCAAAAGCCGCCCGAAAAUGUAGAUCAACCACCUAUUUAAUUUACUCCACACAUUAACAUCAAAUUCCAGAGAGAAUGAGAGAGAGAUGUUUAAAUACAUAGAUUGAGACCAUCUACUGUUUGCAUUGUGACUUGUGUGCUGUGGAGCUUAUUCGAGAGGAGGGGCUGGGGCCCAAAGAAAGGGAUAUAUUUACCAUAAACACAUGAAAACUAAAAGAGGCCAAAAUUAAAGGGGGAUUGCAUAGCUAUAAAACGUAAUAAAGCCCAAGGAAAGAGAUUGAGUCAUAAAUAAUUAUAUAGUGCUCACAAUUCCCACUUAAUUUGAAACUCCCUAAUUGCCGUGAUGUGGACUUAUGUCAUGUUUGGUUUACUAGUUAAAUUGAAAUAAAUGAAAUACAGUAGGGUACGUUAUAUUGAAAUGCAAACUACAAUGAUGAAUUACUCAAAAUUAUUUAAUUCAUUAUUAGAAUGAAAAUUGAAAUGGACAAUAAACGUAUUUAAAACUUAAUUAGAAUAACUAGAACUUUGAAAGAGAGGUUUUGCUUGCAUGCAUGGUUAAUUAAGAGAGAGGAAAGUGAUAAAGGAAGAAAAGAGGGAGUUUUGAGUAGUUUACUCUAAAAUGAGCCAAUAUGAAAUUUAAAAUCGAAUUGGGCUAUAAUUAAAUGCAUGAAUUGGGUUAUUUCAGAGUUUAAAUCGAAAUUAGUGACUCUCAUUUUUAUUUCAGAGUUUAAAAUAGGUAAAUCAAAGAACUUAAAUUAAAUAAAAAAUAAUUAAAAAAUUAACUACGAAUUGGACGAAAUUUGAAUUUAGUUUUGUUUACCUAAUAUUUUAAUUUCAGUCCAAUAUUGAUUCAGUUAGAAACUUACAAUAAAUCCAGAGAUUCGGUCCGAAUUAAAUGUGCAUGAUUUUCCCGAUUUGGCCCGGAAUAAUUGGAUGGUCCCGUUUGGCGCUCAGUUUUGGGACUCGGCGGGAAUUAUUCGUAUUUGCACUCGGAGACAAGAUACACAAUCACCACAUCAUCAGGAAUCAUGAAGGCACAAUCAAUCAACUCUCCUUAGCUUAGCCGAGCUUAGCUUUCUUAGUUUCUGCAAUUACUAGUAUCUUCGUAGGAAAAUUGCGAGAGUACCGGUAAUUUUAUUGUUUGGCCGAGGUAAAGUCUGUUUCAUCUUCGUCGAGAUCAUCUUGCUUUUCGAUGUCAUCUUCAGCCUUCGUCUUCACCAAAAUCCGAAGCUCUCUUCGUCCUCAACAGGCAAAAACCUCUCACUUUCUGGUUCCGAAAGCUCCAACACAGACAAGUGGUCGAGCGUCUAGUGCUCGAAUCUUCGCUAUCAAAGGAUCAAAAUUCUGAAGACAGCGCAUCUACUCGGAUUAUUCCUGUCCUGACUUAAUGUCCGGUCUGAAGAUUAAUAGACAUAAGUCCGAACUUCUAUAUAUGAGCAAAUGCGAUGACCGGGGAGAGAGGCCCACUGAGGUCAUAGGAUAUAAGCUAGGAUCUUUCCCGAUCCGCUAUCUCGGAUUACCUCUCUCGAAUAGACUCCUUCGAAAAGAGGAUUGGUGGUCCAUCAUAGAACGUGUUGAGAGACAGAUUGAAGGGUAGCAAGCUAAACUCCUUUCUCAAGGUGGCAAGUUAGUCAUGGUUAACUCUAUGUCUCGAAUUUGCCCCUUUAUUUCUUUUUGGUUUUUCAAGCACCCAAAUGGGCUUUGCGUCGCAUCGACACUCUAUGGAGGGCCUUUUUUUGGAAAGGGCGGACUCAUGUCUCUAAGGGCCAUUGUUUGGUGAGCUGGAAGUCUAUGUGUAGAAGUAGAAAGGAGGAAGGAUUAGGAGUUUUGGACUUGGAAAAUUUAAACUUAGCCCUACUAGCGAAAUGAUGGUGGAGGUAUCUCGCGUAUAAAACCCUUCAGUGGGUUUUCCUUUUUGAUGGCAUUUACUACGUCCAACAGAGAUCGCUCGGGAAAGGCUUCUCGUUCAGACCUUACUCUCAGUGGCGGCGGAAUGUCCUAGCGAAUAGGGCCCUCUUUAAGUGUGGAAUUUUGUACUCGAUAGGGGACAGACGUAGACUGAGGUUUUAGUUGGACAUCUAGGUCGGAUGGUCCUCCCGGACUAGUUACCCCAACUUCUCUGAUGUUGUACAGAGUUUAAGUUGUAGGGUGAGAGAUUGUUAUACAGACGCACAGAUAGAAGUGGCGUAACAUUCUGGCAGGGUUUGAUCCUAGCUCUCAACCCGAUAGGGAUUCGAUCUCGAAGCUGAAGGAGUCGCUGUUGACCGUGGUGUUAACUGACAGUCCCUAUAUAGUCAGAUGGAGAUGGACCUACUCCGAAGUAUUCUCGGUUAACUCGCUUUACUAAUUCUUGUAAGAUGGAGGGGCCAAAGACAACAGUUUCACUCCGCCGUGGAAGAUUAGAAUCCCACUGAAAGACAAAAAUUUUGUAUGGCUUGUUUUGAAGAGAAAGGUACUAAUAGUGGAUAAUCUGUUGGAAAGGGCUAGCACAGUGAGCAUUAAUAUGUCUUGUGUAUGGUGGAGUCUGAGACGGUAGACCACCUCUUCGUCGAGUGCAAGAUUACAAGAUCCCUCCUGGGCUGCCAACUAUUCAAUAAAAAAUUUUUACUCAAUUUCUGCCAGUGAGUGGGUUGUGGGGGUCUAGUAGACUUAAAGGCGGCGCCUUAGGGGGUAAGGAGCUUAUAACUAUUACCUCCUUAUGAUGGACUAUUUGGUUGGAGUGAAAUAAGAGAAUCUUUGAGCAAAAGAAAUACAACUUGAGCCAAUUGUUGGCGCAGUCAUGCGACUUUAGAAAUCUGUGAAAGAUUUAUUGUGUUUCACAGUAAAUUGAUUUUUUUUUUUUCAAUUCAAGGCCUGGCUGCCUCAAUAUAUUACUUAAUUCAACUUCUUUAUGAAUGAAGCGGUAACAUACUAUCUUUUCUAAAAAAAAAAAAUUGUGCUACAUGUCAUACAUAUUUUUCUUAUUUCUGAAAGUACAAUUGUAAAAAAAUUGAAUCUUUACCUUCAACAUGUAUUUUUUGCCUUUAUAUAAAUCACAAAUAUGAAACAUGUGAUGGAAAAGCAUGAUCCGAUACCAAGAAGUGUUUGUUUGUGGAGUAACCUAUGAGCUAGAUGAUGAAAAGAAAUAUCAGAAUGUGGACCGACAUCUGGAUAGGGAAAAUCCCCCUCCGUACCCUUUUUUCGGACAUCUUUCGGAACAUCAGAAACAAGCAGGCCCGAGUAUUUCAGUGCUGGAACCAGGACGGAUGGAAAUAGCAUUUUAUUUGCCGCGGCUUCUUGACGUCACAAUCCAUCGAAAGUCGCAGACAGCUAACGUGGCUUAAAGAUAUGCUCCGAGGCCACCGCGGCACCGCCCCUGCGACAACCGGGACUCAAUAAAAUGGCGGUGGACCUCCAAUCAAUUAUUCACUGUCAAAUCCCUUUACCAGUUCAUAUCAGAUGCGGGACAACGAGUCCUGAUGAAACAGCACAUUUGGAAAUUGAAAAUUCCACUCAAAAUCAAAAUCUUCAUUUGAUUGCUAGUUCGGAAGAGAUUACUCACUGCUGAUAGACUGCUCAAUCGAGGAAUAUUGGUAGACCAAAAUUGUGUUUUCUGUGCGGUACUCACGGAAAGCUGCGACCAUCUUUUUAGUAACUGCGUCUAUGUACGAUACCUGCUCCUCGGUGUGGAAGGACUGGAUGCAUCUGACGAUAGCAUGGGUGACGUCCGAAGUCUGUGGGCUGGAAUUUGCGACAUCUCGGUUAGCUCGUCGAGAACACAAGGCUUGACCCUUUUGGCCGUAAUUUGGUGGGUGGUCUGGACAGAUAGAAACAAAGCCAUUUUCCAAGGAACCACGCACAACGCUACCCAGUCUCUAGAACAUGUAAAACUUCUGAAUAACACUUGGAACACACUGCUGUGAUGUGCCGCUUGGCCUUCUUUCUUUCUCUCCUUUCUCACCUUACGCCUUCUUAUUUGCUUUUCACUUUCACUUUUAUCUCUUUUGCCUGUUUCUAGGAGGCCUUAGCUGAUUCCAUAUUGUACGCUCAGUUCAUUUUAUUUAAUGAAGGAAGCAGGUAGCUUGCUAUCUAUUUCUCAAAAAAAAAAAAAAAUUAUGAAACAUGUAGUUAGAGAAUAUUUCUAUAAACAUAUAUUCAAUACCCUAUUAACAGGAACGUCUUGAUUUCCCAUUGUCUUGUAUUUUGUCUUUUUCUUGGAUCAUUAUCCUUCAUUUAAAAUUACUGAUUGGCAAUUAUGUAACAAACUAUAUUCAAAUAAAAAAAAAAGUUAACGAAACUAGAUUUAAGAUUUUCAUGUGAAAUAAACUUUUAUCUCAAAAAUUUUAAACUCCUAGAGACUACAGCUGCUUUAUAUCCGACAUUAUCUCUCAUCUUUGUUUCAGUCAAAGAUUAGAUUUUUUUUUUUUUAUCAACUCAAGAUCGUGAACCUAAAUCAAACUGAUUAAAAUUUAGAGCCUGUAAAAAUCUAAGCCAGUAAUAUUCUUCCAAGGGAUGGAAACUAGAGAUAGAUUCGAGAAUGAUGGAACGAUUGAAUAUUGCUGCGAAAUAAGCCUAACAAUUGAGAAAUCGAACCAGUCCAAAAUAAUGCAUGUGUCAACUUUUUUGUUUUUUUUUUUUCGUUUUUUUUUUCAUGCAUUUUGGUACUUGAAUAAGGCCACGUUGCAUAGGAUUUUCCUUCCUUUUUCUCAAAAAAAAAGAAAAGAAAAAUCUCCCUCAUACUAUUANAAUUGAAUCUUUACCUUCAACAUGUAUUUUUUGCCUUUAUAUAAAUCACAAAUAUGAAACAUGUGAUGGAAAAGCAUGAUCCGAUACCGAGAAGUGUUUGUUUGUGGAGUAACCUAUGAGCUAGGUGAUGAAAAGAAAUAUCAGGAUGUGGACCGACAUCUGGAUAGGGAAAAUCCCCCUCCGUACCCUUUUUUCGGACAUCUUUCGGAACAUCAGAAACAAGGAGGCCCGAGUAUUCAGUGCUGGGACCAGGACGGAUGGAAAUAGCGCUUUAUCUGCCGCGGCUUCUUGACGUCACAAUCCAUCGAAAGCCGCAGACAGCUGACGUGGCUUAAAGAUAUGCUCCGAGGCCACUGCCCCUGCGACAGCCCGGACUCAAUAAAAUGGCGGUGGACCUCCAAUCAAUUAUUCACUGUCAAAUCCCUUUACCAGUUCAUAUCAGAUGCGGGACAAUGAGUCCUGAUGAAACAACACAUUUGGAAAUUGAAAAUUCCAUUCAAAAUCAAAAUCUUCAUUUGGUUGCUAGUUCGGAAGAGAUUACUCACUGCUGAUAGAUUGCUCAAUCGAGGAAUGUUGGUAGACCAAAAUUGUGUUUUCUGUGCGGUACUCACGGAAAGCUGCGACCAUCUUUUCAGUAACCGCGUCUAUGUACGAUACCUGCUCCUCGGUGUGGAAGGACUGGAUGCAUGCGACGAUAGCACGGGUGUCGUCCGAAGUAUGUGGGCCGGAAUUUGCGACAUCUCGGUUGGCUCGUCGAGAACACAAGGCUUGACCCUUCUGGCCGUGAUUUGGUGGGUGGUCUGGACAGAUAGAAACAAAGCCAUUUUCCAAGGAACCACGCACAACGCUACCCAGUCUCUAGAACAUGUAAAACUUCUGAAUAACACUUGGAACACACUGCUGUCAUGUGCCGCUUGGCCUUCUUUCUUUCUCUCCCUUCUCACCUUACCCCUUCUUAUUUGCUUUUCACUUUCACUUUUACCUAUUCUGCCUGUUUCUAGGAGGCCUUAGCUGCUUUCUUAUUGUACGCUCAGUUCAUUUUAUUUAAUGAAGGAAGCAGGUAGCUAGCUAUCUAUUUCUCAAAAAAAAAAUAAAAAAUAAAACAUAUAGUUAGAGAAUAUUUCUAUAAACAUAUAUUCAAUACCCUAUUAACAUGAACGUCUUGAUUUAUCGUUGUCUUGUAGUUUGUCUUUUUCUUUGAUCAUUAUCCUUCAUUAAAAUUACUGAUUGGCAAUUAUGUAACAAACAAUAUUCAAAUAAAAAAAAAAAGGUUAAUGAAACUAGAUUUAAGAUUUUCAUGUGAAAUAAACUUUUAUCUCAAAAAUUUUAAACUCGUAGAGACUACAGCUGCUUUAUAUCUGACAUUAUCUCUCAUCUUUGUUUCAGUCAAAGAUUAGAUUUUUUUUUUUUUAUCAACUCAAGAUCGUGAACCUAAAUCAAACUGAUUAAAAUUUAGAGCCUGUAAAAAUCUAAGCCAGUAAUAUUCUUCCAAGGGAUGGAAACUAGAGAUAGAUUCGAGAAUGACGGAACGAUUGAAUAUUGCUGCGAAAUAAGCCUAACAAUUGAGAAAUCGAACCAGUCCAAAAUAAUGCAUGUGACAACUUUUUUGUGUUUUUUUUUUUUGCAUGCAUUUUGGUACUUGAAAAAGGCCACGUUGCAUAGGAUUUUCCUUCCUUUUUCUCAAAAAAAAAGAAAAGAAAAAUCUCCCUCAUACUAUUAUAUAUAAAUGACAAGAGUCUCGAUGAGUCCAACGUAUUAAUUUGGACCAAACAAUAUUCAUUAAUAAGUAUUUCCUUUCAAAAUGUACGCACUCUUGCAAGAUAUAUGCAACCAGUCUAACCAAUCUUCUGGACUAUAAUUUAUUAGAAACCAAAAACCAUAUAAUUGAAAUAUCUUAUCACUACCCCAUAAAAGCUCCAUCCUGCUGUAAUUUGAUUAUUCCAACAUACUCUUGGUCUACCCAGUAAUAUUUUUAAGGAUAAUUGAUGAUCACUGUUUAUAUAUAUAUAUAGAGAGAGAGGAGAGCUAGAAUACUGUCGAUAGCAAAUGGGCUCCGUUGCCACCCAUUUGUUUUCGAUGAUAGAGUUUCCAAAUCGACGAUCGACACCGUUGAACAUAGUCUAUACCACUUGAAGUAUUUAGAAAUCAAAUUUCAAAUCUUUUCGACAUUAUUUGCCUAAUGAUCAAAGGAUUUCAAAAGUUGUAAUUUUAAUGAUUGAUAUAAGGUGUUUUCUCGUUUAACGGUGUAAAGAUACCCAAAUCAAUUGAAUUUUUGUUAGAAAAAAUUUUAAACUAUUUAAAAUAAGAUCUAUACUGUUGAUCUUGACUACAAAACUCCUGUCAUCAUUUUUUAAAGAAUAUUUAUUUUUAGCCAUUCAUUUUGUGUCCACUUGAUGGAUAAGAGAAUAAUAUCGAAAAUAUAUGAAAUUUGAAUUCUAAACACUUCAAAUGGUAUAGAUCCUGUUCAACAAUGCCGAUUGUCAAUUUGGAGGCUCCAUCAUCGAAAACAAAUGGAUGGCAACGGAGUCCGUUUGCUACCGAUAGUANCUAAAAAUAAAAGUCGGCAAUUUUUAAUAACUAAAACUUAGGAAAGCUAACGAUUCAUUUACUAUAGCUUUUUAGCGUUUUUAAUAAAAGAUCUUUGAAGUUUAUGCGAUCUAGUUCAGAUUGCCUCGGCUAACAGCUAAACUUUUAAGGUAGUAGCUUUUGCCGAGUCCUCGUGCCUCCGGAGACACGAGGACUCUCGUGUCGUCAGGACGAGAGAGAGAGAGAGAGAGAGAGAGAGAGAGAGAGAGAGAGAGAGAGAGAGAGAGACUAUAAAAAGUGGUGAUAUAGCACUAAAAUUUUCGAUCAGAAAUAUUGAUCUUGUUAUAGAUAGUAUAAAGAAUUUUGUAUCAAAAUUUCAUCUGAUUUGAAUACUUCUACACCGUUAAACUUGAAAACGGCAGAUAUCAACUAUUAAAAAUUAUUGAUUUUGAAUCCUUUCGAUCACUAGGUAAAUGAUAUAAAAAAAUCGCAAAAAUUAUUUUCUAGAAUCUUCAAAUACGGUAGAUCAAGUCUAACGGAGCCGAUCGUCAAUUCGAAAAUUCCAUCAUCGAAAACGGCUCCGUGCUCCUGAGAGCACAGCAGCCCUGCUCUAUAUACGUAUCUAUUAUUAUCUUCU